AUUAAACAAUCUUCCAUACGUGAAAGUAUCCCUCGUCCUGACAGUUGUGCCCCUGACUCAUGUUUCUUUUACUGAAUUACCAUUACAGCUGUUGACGACUUCACCUUGUUCUCAUCCAGACUUGUAUUAUUUUCGUUUAGUUUUUGGGGAAGUGAAAGAGAGGGGUUGUGUUUUUUUUUUUUUUGGUCAACUAAACUUCAUUAAGAGGCCCAAAGGUCCAACAAGGUUCUCACAAGUCAAGCAACAGAGGCAAAUGACUAGGAAACCAAAAACAAACACCAACAACAAACGUCUGAAAACAGAAAACAACACAGAAGAGCANNNNNNNNNNNNNNNNNNNNNNNNNNNNNNNNNNNNNNNNNNNNNNNNNNNNNNNNNNNNNNNNNNNNNNNNNNNNNNNNNNNNNNNNNNNNNNNNNNNNNNNNNNNNNNNNNNNNNNNNNNNNNNNNNNNNNNNNNNNNNNNNNNNNNNNNNNNNNNNNNNNNNNNNNNNNNNNNNNNNNNNNNNNNNNNNNNNNNNNNNNNNNNNNNNNNNNNNNNNNNNNNNNNNNNNNNNNNNNNNNNNNNNNNNNNNNNNNNNNNNNNNNNNNNNNNNNNNNNNNNNNNNNNNNNNNNNNNNNNNNNNNNNNNNNNNNNNNNNNNNNNNNNNNNNNNNNNNNNNNNNNNNNNNNNNNNNNNNNNNNNNNNNNNNNNNNNNNNNNNNNNNNNNNNNNNNNNNNNNNNNNNNNNNNNNNNNNNNNNNNNNNNNNNNNNNNNNNNNNNNNNNNNNNNNNNNNNNNNNNNNNNNNNNNNNNNNNNNNNNNNNNNNNNNNNNNNNNNNNNNNNNNNNNNNNNNNNNNNNNNNNNNNNNNNNNNNNNNNNNNNNNNNNNNNNNNNNNNNNNNNNNNNNNNNNNNNNNNNNNNNNNNNNNNNNNNNNNNNNNNNNNNNNNNNNNNNNNNNNNNNNNNNNNNNNNNNNNNNNNNNNNNNNNNNNNNNNNNNNNNNNNNNNNNNNNNNNNNNNNNNNNNNNNNNNNNNNNNNNNNNNNNNNNNNNNNNNNNNNNNNNNNNNNNNNNNNNNNNNNNNNNNNNNNNNNNNNNNNNNNNNNNNNNNNNNNNNNNNNNNNNNNNNNNNNNNNNNNNNNNNNNNNNNNNNNNNNNNNNNNNNNNNNNNNNNNNNNNNNNNNNNNNNNNNNNNNNNNNNNNNNNNNNNNNNNNNNNNNNNNNNNNNNNNNNNNNNNNNNNNNNNNNNNNNNNNNNNNNNNNNNNNNNNNNNNNNNNNNNNNNNNNNNNNNNNNNNNNNNNNNNNNNNNNNNNNNNNNNNNNNNNNNNNNNNNNNNNNNNNNNNNNNNNNNNNNNNNNNNNNNNNNNNNNNNNNNNNNNNNNNNNNNNNNNNNNNNNNNNNNNNNNNNNNNNNNNNNNNNNNNNNNNNNNNNNNNNNNNNNNNNNNNNNNNNNNNNNNNNNNNNNNNNNNNNNNNNNNNNNNNNNNNNNNNNNNNNNNNNNNNNNNNNNNNNNNNNAUUUCCAACCUGCCAUCUUGCCCCAUCAACAAUUAAGCCUUUACCGUCUAAGAGGCUACUCCAUGCCCAAGAAGCACGAGAACCCUUUCCGGCAUUCAGGAUAUCAGAGUUAGGAUAGUAAAUUCCUUUUAAAAUCUGAGCACAUAAAGAAUCAGGAUCAGAAUGGAGCCUCCAUACUUGUUUAGCCAAGAGCGAGAUGUUAAACUCAUUUAGAUUUCUAAAGCCCAAACCACCAUAAUCUUUAGGCUGGCCGAGAAAAUCCCAACUCUUCCAAUAAAUUUUUUUCUCAUCCUUCUUUUGCCCCCACCAAAAAUUAGCCAUCAUCGCAUCAAGCUCAUUGCAUAGAGUGACUGGAAAUUUAAAACAAUGCAUAGGGAAGGUAGGAACAGCUUGAGCCACUGCUUUGAUAAGAGUUUCCCUCCCAGCCAUUGAUAAGGAGCAAAGUUUCCAAUUCUGAAUCUUGUCAGCCAGUUUAGAAAGAGAGGGGUUGUUGGUUUCAAAUAUCUUUCAUUGUGCUUGGAGAAAGAGAAGAUAGCGACCGAGCGGAUUUCAAUUGCUUAUCUUGCUGAAGCUAGAUUCACAGGUUAGGCCUCUGAUUCAACUCUUUAGAUUUGUUAAUCUCGAUUCGGAUCACUUCGUCUUCACUAUCGGGUCACACAUCCCAGUACUGCCUCUCAAAGUUUUGAUCUCUUUUUUGAUCGUGUUGAUUUGGGUUUCCUUCAUUUGCAUAUCUUAGACCAGGAAUAUUUUACUCGAUUCAGAUUAUCAUGUACUGGGAUCAAAUGAGUGCAAAGUCAUAGGCUUUCUAUGAUCCAGUAUACAUAUAUAUAUGUUUUGGAUUUGGCUACUCCAUCUUCGGGGUCUCUUUUUUCUUUUUCUUUUUCUUUUCUUUGUAUACACACACAUGUAUAUAUGUAACCCAGUUUUACUUUCCCAGAUGUUUAGCGUGCAUGUUGGUGUGAGUUCAAGAAUCAUUGAUUUUGUGAUAUUGUGUUUUCAGUGUAGUUUAUUUGAUGGAUUAUCAUAUGGGGCUGCUUUCCAUGGCAAUGGUUUUUAUCAGCAAAGCUGUGUACUCCUCACUUUCAAUGACACUUUUCAUUCUUCAGGUAUAAUCUUAACUUUCAUUUUUUUUUUUGUUGUCUUAGCAAUUUGCUUCUGGAACUCCAACUUGUUAGGAAGGGUCAUAUGUAAUGAGCCCUUUAGGAAAUUCUGUAAUUGGAUGGAUGUCACUACCAGGACAAGCACUUUAGCCGACGAAAAAGUUUCGUCGGCAUGUUAGCUUAAUUCGUCGGCUAAGAUUUCGUCGGGAAAAGGUCGUCGGCGAUGACUUUAGCCGACAAAUUUUUUUUUUUCGUCGGCUAUAGUCUCACAGUUAGCCGACGAAAAACAUGUCAUCGGUUUUUUUCCCAGACUUUAGCCGACGAAACAAUUAAGAUAUUCAUCGGCUAAAGUGUGUAAUAAAUAAUUCAAAAAUAAUUAUAGCCGACGAAAUAUACUAUAUUUCGUCGGCUAAACCUUAUAAAAAUUUAAAAAAUAACUAUAGCCGACGAACUAAACCUUAUAAAAAAAAUUUAAAAAUAACUAUAGCCGACGAAUUAUGGCAAUUCGUCGGCUAAACCUUAUAAAAAAAAAUUAAAAAAUACUAUAGCCGACGAAUAUAGUAUUUAAAUUUCGUCGGCUAAAGUUGCUAGGUUUCGAAAAAAAAAACUGCAGAAACUUUCGGCUACCUCCAAUCACGACCAAAAUUUGACAGAAUCUUCCUCUCAACAUUUCGAACAACUUUCUAGAAGAAGUCGAAGCUCAAUUCUAAGCCUAAACAGGUCAAUCGACUCAAAAUAUAAAAAUCCCCAAUUUUAAACCCUAAAAACUUCAAAUCUUCGAUUCUCUUCACACACACCGAAUCGAGCUACAAAAUUCUAGAGGAAUGUAGUACUAAUCAAACUCAACUUACCCAUAUAUAGAACUCACCAAAUGGUGACCUAAAGAAGGAGAAAUUCGAUCGACACCGAAUCCGAACCGGCGGAGUUUUGGAGCUUGAUUUAUCCCUCACGGCGGUGUCACUCAAUGCAUCACCUAUCCAGCAAUGAAGUAGAGACGACGGCGAAGCUUUGGGACAAGUGUGGCGGUCUCCGGUGGCUUGACGGCGGAGCUAGGCCGAGAAGAAAAUCUGGCAGAUAUAGACUCUUACCAUCCAUCUUCGCCUAUAUAAAGAACUUUAGCCGACGAAAUUCUUUAUUUUCGUCGGCUAAACUCUUUUGAAAAUUUUGGUUGACCGUCAAAAAAUUUUGGUUGAAAAUUUUGAAAAUUUUUCGACUUUAGCCGACGACUUUUCAUAUAUUUUCGUCGGCUAAAGUCCUUUGAAAAUUUUCCUCCAACUUUGGUUUACCGCCCAAAAAAUUUUGUAAUUUUUUGACCUUAGCCGACGACUUUUUUAAUAUCUCGUCGGCUAAAGUCUAUAAAUUCACGAAAACGCUCAUAUCUCCCCCUAUAUUACGUAGUUUGGUCAAACCUUUCACACGAAAAACUCUCACGUAGAUGAGACGCAACUGCCUAUAUAAAAAUUUUGAGACAUUUACCUUCCGACGAUAGGGCUCCCCAUAGGGAAUAAUAACGGUAAAUAGGGUUGACCGCUACUAUUGGCACCGAGACUUUACCCGAUUUACGUGAUUUUUGAACCAUAGCCGUAUUUCACCAUUUUGAACACAUCUUAUUUCACGAGAUUUUUAAUAAUUUUGCUUCCUAUGUAGAGUUGGUUCACAAAGUUGUAUAACCUACUAAACAAGUUAAACAACAUUAGUAGACACGUGAUUCCAAUGACUAAAAUUCACAAACCAAAAUUCUACCGUCAGAUAUGAUCAUUAUGACGAAAGAUGUCUAUGGUAAAAAAUUCAACUGGAUCCGACAACGUUAAGGGCUCGAUCGAAACGGUCAACCAUAAUCCAUCGUCACUUAUCACACGAAAACGCUCAAAUCUCCCUCUAUAUUACCUAGUUUGGUCAAACAUUCCACAGAAAAAACUCUCACGUAGAUGAAACGCAACUGCCCAUAUAAAAAUUUUGAGACAUUUACCUUCUGAUGAUAGGGCUCCUCAUAGGGAAUAAUAACGGUAAAUAGUAGACACGUGAUUCCGAUGACUAAAAUUCACAAACCAAAAUUCGACCGUCAGAUAUGAUCAUUAUGACGAAAGAUGUCUAUGGUAAAAAAUUCAACUGGAUUCGACAACGUUAAGGGCUCGAUCGAAACGGUCAACUCUAAUCGGAAAUAAGAAAACUGCAUUUUGAAGCCCUAAACGGACUCGGAUGGCCAAAAAGGCCUAUACAUCAUGGCAUUGGCCAUGAGUUUGACUCGUAGCGCCGUUACGCUUCCGGAAAGGUAUCACAAUAGUCAAUCAGACACCAAAUGCCAAAUCUGCAGCAUAGUGAAUAAUAAGAGUAAAUUGCAUUGACCGCAACUAUCGGCACCGAGACUUUACCGGAAUACCGUGAUUUUUCAACCGUAGACGUAUUUCACCAUUCUGAUCAUAUCUUAUUUCACGAUAUUUUUGCGUUUGAAGGUUCUACGUAUAGUUUUCGUCGGCUAAACUUUUAAAAAUUUCGUCGGCUAAAGUUCACAGACUAUAGCCGACGAAAAAAAUUAUUCAGCCGACGAAAUAUUAAUUUCGUCGGCUAAAGUUGACCAUAGCCGACGAAAAUUUUAAAUUAGCCAACGAAGGAAAAUUUCGUCGGCUAAAGUUUUUUAUUUUCGUCAGCUAAAGCCUUUCUUCUGGUAGUGUGUGGUUCAAUGGAAAUGGUCGGGAAGCAAAACUAGUUGAAGGCUUCAAGCUCAAGUCUGGAGAGACGUAUCUCAAUUCUGGGGCCAAUUGUAAACAGCAAAGAUUUUUAACCUUUCUGUAUUUGACUUUGAAACUUUCUUUCUUAAUGAUUCUUGUAACGGGGGAACUAUCUUCGAUGUCAUGUUUCUGGAAAUUCUGCUUCCAUCCUGCUACAGAGAAUGCAAGAAGAUGGAGGCUAGAAUCUCUGGGUGUUUUUUGUGUAACUCUAUGUUCUGUCUCAAUGUUUUCCUGUGUGAGGAUUCUGAUUUGGUACAUUGGUAUCUUCUAGUAUGAUCUCGAAAGCAGUCCUGCCUAGUGUUAGGGCCCAUCCUUGGGUCAUGGUGUAUGAAACUUGAAUAUCAUGUGAUACAAUCUAAACAGAUGAUAAUGAUGUCUUUUGCCUCAUGGGUGCAUGCAUAUUGUCGUAGGUGGGAACGGGGCAGGGGCCAGUAUUGGUCAGUUGGUUCUUUGUUGGCCAAUUGCUUCCUGUCCAGUUGAAGUUGCUUAGUGCGUGGCUAAUUUGAUUCUGCUAUGCUGUGCUUACUUUCUAUUUUUAAUACAUGAAAUGAGUUUUGGUAUGUUAGGAAGACUAUGUAGUUCUGGAGUUCCAUGAUGCUAGUUGUGUUUUGGUUAAUCUGUGCUGUUGAACAUACUCUGUAUAUUACUAACUUAAUUAACGUACAGCAGUUCGAGUGAUUGACUUGAAUGUACGUCAACAGGUCAAGCACUUGGUUCUGAACCUACAUUGCCUUGAGUUCGGAUGAGCCCAAUGGAGAAAUCUAUUUGGUGCUGUUAAAUUUGCUUCUGCUGGCAUUAGAGUCCUCAUGACACCAGACUUCAGCAUGUAAGUUGGAUACCAAAUAGUACGUUACCGUUAAGUUGAAGUGUUAUUUUCAAUAGUGAUAUUGUUGGAUGGGUUUUUGUUAGAAGAAGUGGACACAAAGGUUUUUGAAUGUGCUUUUGGAAAUUAAAAAAAAAAAAAAAAAAAAAAAAAAAAACUGAUGUACAAGAUGUCAAAUUUUAAAUUUUAAAUUUAAUCAAAUCCAAUAUGUACAAGCUACUGUAUAUUUCUAAAGUAUUUAUAUAUGUUAAAUACGUCAUUGCUUUCAGAAGCUUGCAGAAAAGUUCAUUGCUGAUGUAGAUUGUACCAAUGCAGGUGAAAUAACGUAACUGAUCAUAAAGCCUUUUUAAAUCCUGUCAUAUUUUUGUUUGUACGCCACAACUUGGCUUGAUACACUAAUAUCCAUCCUUUAUGCAGGAGAAAGUAGAGAUAUAAAUUAGAAAGUUAUGUAAAAGCCUUAUGCUCCAAAGCUUCAAACCUUAGCGAUUUUGGAAGACAUGCGGGUAAGUAGACUAUGAAUUACUUUUGUUUUGCAAGGUCAUCUUAUGUUCUCUAGAUAAUGUGAUCUCACAUUUGUACUGUAAUUUGCUUAAUUUGAGAAUGUUUUCCCAAGUGAUUGAUAUCAACUAGGUUGUGUACUAGACUAUUAUUUUGCUUUAAAUGUAUACAUUCAAUUUAAACUUUUUGAUUUGGCAAGGAUGUUGUUUUGCCUUUGAUUUUGAGGUAGUAUGUUUGAGUGUUUGACUUAUGAAUUUCUUGAACCUUGCAAGGUGUGGCCAGCAUUCUCCAUUGUGAUUUUGAAGAAAUGCAGCUCAUUAGGAAAACGUACAGUUGGGUCCAGAGUUAGAUGAGUCUGGAAGCAUAGUUAUUGAAGCCAUACUUCUGUAGGUAUCAGAGAAGGUUAAUCUUAAGUUGCCUUUGUAAGUCAGGUUAAUUAUAACAUGUUUCUUGUCGAUGUAGAUUGUUUUUAUUUGUUUAACUUUUUAUUUGGUUAGCUGUUUGUAAAUUGUAAUUACGAUACUUGAAUUGUGGACGGGGAGAUUUAAUAUAGCAACUGGGUUUCUGUUGAUUACAUAGGUUCACUUCUAGUAUCCGAUUCAUAAUAAUUUUUUUUAAAAAAUCAGUUUUAAUGAAGCCACAAAACCCAAAACAAUCGUGGGUGACUUGUAUGAAUAUAAUGUAGAUAUUGGCACGAUUGAUAAACAAUCGUGAGCUCUUUUGACAGUUUGUGGUGGUAGGUCCUAAAGUGGGGUCCAUGUAAGAAGUCUCACGAUUGCAGGGCAAUUGUGAUAAUAUUUAGCAACAGCCACGGCAUUAAAGGCCACAUUCCUUAAAAAUGUUGCUGCAUCGUGGGUAAAGUCCACAGCCACAAUCAUUCGUGGGCAAAGGAGUCAAAGCCCACAAAUAGGAAACGUGGGUACUAGAGGUUUUUUUUGUAGUGGACAACAGAAGCCAUGCCAUUCACAGAUUAUAAAGCUUCCCCAUCCAAUCUAAUGAAGAAUCAUGGACCAAUAGAGCCCAACAGUGUUACAGUACACCAGUGCUAAUGGUAUUUUAGGGCAAAUAUGCUCAUGACUUCACUGAGUAACUGUGAAGGAAAACUACAACCACCAGAGCUUAAGCCCCAAAGCAACAGUAGAGUUACACUAUUUUUAGCCUAACCGGGAAAAUAAAACUUAGCUUGUAAAGAAUUACUUGCUCAUUCAUUCAAGUGAACAUCACAAAUCUCGAACCUACCUAGCUAGCUAGCUCGAAGUACCAAGUCAACUAGCUAGGGAAACUAGUUAAGGAGACAUGUAUUAUCCCAUCGGUUCUAUUCCCGAUUCAUAACUCGAAAGUUUUUCUGGCCUUUUGCUAAUCGGGGCUAAAACUCCGGAAAUGAAAAAUUCCAAAAUAGGAAUAACACUUGAGACUAUCAAAAAUGCCCAGAAAAAAUCAUAGGUAGAUAGGUAUUACGCUAGUUGAAUCUGCAUGCUGUCACUAGUUAUCGCUUGGAAAAUUUCCACAAGUCAUGUCAUAUUCAGACUGCAAAUUAGAAAUUUUCCACCAGUCAUCUUCGUAUUGGAAAAGGAAAUUGUUUAAUACCAUUUACACCUACUUGGGCACCUUGACGAAAUGAUCUUACCGUCUAGAAACUGACAUAAACUAAUAAACCAAACAAGUUACAACUUACAACUACAACCUGUCACCGUGAUCAUCAAGCAUAACGGAAAACGAAUUGUCACAUUGACAUUGCAUAGAAUAAUUAGUUGGUUGCAUAAAAUUAUCGAUGAAAAUGGAAGUUGUGCCACUUGUGCCCCGUCAGUCAAUUUAUAGUGAUGUGUGGUGGAAAAAAAAUAAAUUCAAAAGCCAACUAUAAACUUUUGCCACCUGAUCAGAAAACAAAUCACGUAUAUAUAGGCAGAAGGAUCCUGGCUUGGCAAAUCAGGGACCUCAAGCUUUCGUUUUCUUGAAACCGAUUGAUCUCGUAACUUUGCUUGACUUUGAAAGUUUUGGGCUUACCAAGUGGCUUCAGGAAAUAAGAGAGACGACCAAGGCAUUUUGGUUCACUCACAACCUCAACCUAUUCAAUUUGUCUACAAAAAGCGAGCUUGCAAGCACAACUUAUUCAGUAAUAAGAAAUACAGUUCAUACAUUUAUACCUCUCAGUUUAAGUUCCAGAAUCAAUUGGUGCAUGCAGGUUACUAAGUAAGUAGUUUGAGUAUAUUCAUGGUCACAACUUUUGCAUGAUAAAUCGAUGCAUAGUUAAGUGCAUCAAUGCAUGGAUAAAUUUAUGAUGUGCCUCUUAAUCUUCUUAAAGAGGAGGAUGAAAGGUUGGUUGGUUCAUUGUUCCACACCCGGAAAUAAUGGAAGAAGACCUCGAUCAACAUAUUGCAAAUGUUAUAUUCCUAUAAGUCAGUAUAUCCGCUAGCGAAAGUUAUCCUAUAAGUCUAUAACUCCAUAAGGUUUAACCCCAUGAAUGAUGGAAGCCGAAGCCCUAUGUAUGUUUAGUCUCGAGUUAUAAAAUAUAUACAAGAAGUGAACUAAUUAAUCGAGCCAAGACUUUAGGUUCAAGUUUUGUAACGUAAAUUAUGAGUUCUAUUAAUUAGUCUAGUUAGGUGUAAACGCAACGUACUUCUUUAUUAUUCAAGCCUUAUUUUUUGAGUUAACAAACAUAAACAAAGAUGCUAUCAACUAAACAAAAAAAAUAAGUUCAGUCUAAUCUAUACACCGUUAUUCCUUCUUCUUUUAAUUGAUAAUUUAUAUAGAAUGUGAAACAAUGUAUAAUGUUUUUCAUUUGGUAUCUCAAAGUGAGAUUGAUUAGGACCAAGAAAGGAAAACAAAAAGAAAGACUCUGCUCCCUUCGCUGGCUAGAUAAUUGACUAUUAAUGCAUGCGGGCUUCAUUGACCAUUAGUUUCAUACUUCCGGUUUGGCCAGAAAAAAAAAAAAAAUUUGAAAAUACUAUCAUUAUGUCCAGUUAAAUUCUAAAGAAAUACCAUAAUGGGAACAUAUAUGAUAGAUUGAUGGUCAGAAGACCCCUAUAAAAGACAUUGCACAACUCACUUUCAGAUCAUAAACAUACACAAAUUAGUAACAUAUAUCGUGAGUUAUUCCUUAUAAUCACUCGCGCAAUACUUGAAUGCCAUGGCCUUAAUACAUGGUAGGAUGCAAAUGCUUAUUAUCCAACUCUCUUUGUUAAUGGUGGCAGUAACCCUAGCAUCUUCUCAAGCGCCAAGGCCUGCAACCUGCUCCGACCGCUGCGGUGAUGUCGAAAUCCCAUAUCCAUUCGGCAUAGAGCCUAGCUGUUACAUGGAGGUGCCGGAACAAGAUGAACAGCAAUAUUCAAGGUCACCUGUGACCAGGCCACCACGCCACCGUUACUCAAGUUCUUGAACGGUGAUAUCCUCAACCAAAGCAUUACUAACAUUUCUGUAGGUGAGAGUAAGAUGCAAGUAAUGCUGCCCACAUCCCGGAACUGCUACACCGACGGUUACUACAACGAUUCUUUGUACAGAAACAGUGAGCUCAUCCUCCCCUCUGGUUACACCAUCUCUGAUAAGAACAAGGUUUAUAUCAUUGGAUGUAACAAAAUAGCACUAUACCAAGGUUUUGUCACCCAAUUCAAGUCGAGCCAGAGCGAACAGAAAUCGAGAAGCUGGGGACAACCGGCGUGAGCUUGUGCCAAGAUCUACUCGGAGCGUUGUCCAACAAUUGCAGUGGCGUCGGGUGUACCCAAAGGACCAUCAUAAGUGGACUUCACAGUAUUAACUUGGAUGUGUGGACAAUCGGUACAGGCCUUGGAAGCACAUCACAGUGGGCACUAGACUACCCGUGCAGCUACGGUUUCAUUGUGGAUGAUCGCAAUUUCACCUUCGCCGGGAAUGCAACUUUUAAAGAGAUGGACAGCAGCACAAACUCGCCGGAGCUUCCGGUGGCUGUUAACUGGGAAAUUGAAAAGGACAACUGUGAAGUUGCCCUCAAUAAUCAAACUUCUUAUGCAUGCAAGGCCGCAAAUACUGAAUGUGUCAACGGCACUUCAGGUGGAUAUUUCUGCCGGUGCCAGAAAGGUUACCAAGGGAACCCUUACGUCCUUGGUGGUUGCGAAGGUAAAAAUCUUUUACAUUAAGCUCGUAAAUGUUUACCUGAUCCACAUCUAACUAAUAUAUACGUUUGUUUUUCGGUUUUAAUUUCAGAUGUUAACGAGUGUACUAAUUCGACCAUCUGCCAUCCUACUUCAACAUGCAAAAAUUUAGUAGGAAGUUACACUUGUAAAUGUCCCAAGGGGCGCCAAACAAAUGACGACAAUAACAACAAUCCUUGUGUCAAAAUCAUCGGAAAACCAAAGAAUACUUCCCUCCAAAUUUCACUGGGUAUGGAUUUGCUAUCACUGAGCAGAAACUUCUUAUUAUCGUUUGUACGUCAUAUUGAGUUGUAUCAUGAUUAUGUGCAGGUGUCUGUUUGAGCUUCCUUGUCGUAUUGAUUAUAACAUUUUGGAUAUACUGCGUAAUGAAAAGAAGAAAGUUCAAGCAACUCAAAGAGAAGUACUUCAAAGACAAUGGUGGCUUCUUGUUACAACAAAAAUUGGAGAAUUUUGACGGACCUCAAGCAGCCAAGAUCUUUACAAGAGAAGAGCUUAACAAGGCCACAAACAACUUCGAUGACAGCGGAAAAAUUGGCGAAGGUGGCUACGGAUUUGUUUACAAAGGAACAUUGCCGGAUAGAAAGGAGGUUGCCAUAAAGGUGUCGAAGAGUAAUGCCCCAAUGACCCAAAGUAAUCAGUUCAUCAAUGAGGUGAUUGUUCUUUCACAAAUCAACCAUAGAAAUGUGGUGAGGCUCCUAGGUUGUUGCUUAGAGACUCAAACUCCUUUGUUAGUUUACGAGUUUGUUAGCAAUGGCACACUUUAUGAGCACAUUCAUAAGAAGAAUGGCAAGGAUCUGCUUUCUUUUGGGUUACGAAUGAAGAUAGCAGCAGAAACAGCAGGAUCCCUAGCAUACUUGCACUACUCCACAUCCAUGCAAAUCGUGCACCGAGAUGUGAAGGCAACUAACAUCCUACUGGAUGAGAAUUUCACUGCCAAAGUAUCAGAUUUUGGAGCUUCAAAAUUGGUUCCCGAAGAUCAAAAUCAACUGUCUACUUUAGUGCAAGGCACGCUAGGGUACUUGGACCCUGAAUAUCUUCAAUCAAACACACUGACGAAGAAAAGUGAUGUCUAUAGUUUCGGCGUUGUUCUUGUCGAGCUUAUAACGAGUCAAGUGGCAAUUUCUCACAAGAAGCCUGAGGCAGAGAGAAACCUAGCGAACUGUUUUGUAACGUCAGUGGAAGAGAAUCGCUUGGCUCAUAUUCUUGAUCUUGAAAUUAUCAAGGAGGGAAGCUUUGAAAUAGCUGAACAAGUAGCCCAUCUCGCCAAAAGAUGUUUAAGUUUGAAAGGAGGAGAUAGGCCUACCAUGAAAGAAGUAGCAAUGGAGCUAGAGGCAAUACUGGCUGUUAUGUCAAAGCAUCCAGGAGGAAAGCCUGACUCCUCCCCCAAAGAGACCGAUUACUUGCUUGCAGCGUCACCUUCAAACGCUUGCGUUGUUGAUGUUAGAAGUGAUGAAGGUGAAGUCAUAACCAGCAUAGAUUAUGACCAGAGCAUGCAGAUUCAAUCCCAGAUGAUGAAGCCUCAUGAUGGUGGGAGAUAGUUCAUCAAUUUGCUAGCUUCUCUUUCAUAGCUAGCUAGUUAUGUGUGGAGUUGUUCUUAAUUUUCUUUACUACUUUUGAGUAUGCCGUGUUAAAUAAAAGAUGUAUGAUCAUACUAUGAUUAUUCCUUCUUUGAACAACACUUCGAUUUAUGUUCAUAACCAAUUAUGAUUACGUAUAUGACUUCAACCGAAGAUGUUACGUUAAGAUCUGAACAUUAUGAUGCAUUCAUGCAAAGAAUAUUUAUGAUACAGUACCUACAAUAUCCAAUGCUGGAUCUUAACUUAAUACGAGUAUAUGUCAAUAAACAAUUAAAUGACAGCUAUAAGAAGUUAAGUAAGAUCUGAACAUUAUGAUGCAUUCAUGCAAAUAAUAUUUAUGAUACAGUACCUACAAUAUCCAAUGUUGGAUCUUAACUUGAUGAGACCCAUGUACUUCUGUGACAGUGAAUAUAAGAACCAAAGUUACAUACAGUUAAAUUAAAUGAUGAUCAUAAAGGCAAUAGCAGUAAAAUAAACUCACCCAAAUAAACCGAUGGAGUUGAGGUCGAUGAUAAUAGCAGCAAUCAUAAAAUUACACUAGGCAUCCAGGUUUAUAUGCAGAGAAAUACCAGUAUACCAUGAUUAAAAAAUACCUCAAUUUUCUAGUCCAGGUUAUAUUAUAUGCAGAGAGCAACUAACAAAGGUCAAAAAGAAGAGGCAUCCCACUAUAUGGCACUGCAUAUACUUGCAUAAAGUCAUUAAGACUGACAAGCAUUAUGGCCAACAAAGCAAGUCCAAAGAAGAACAAAUAACUAAACUCAAGUCGACCUAUCCACCUAAAAAUUAGCAAAGAGGUAUAUAUGCCUGAGCAGCUAUCUGAUGAAGACAUAAUAUUCUGCUAGAGGAUCUCAUAGUCUAGGUACAAAACGCUAGACAAAGAUGCAUCGAAUGAAUAAUCUAAAUAGACUAUUUCACCAGAUUUUGCUCCACACGAACAACAGGUUCAUAAUAAGAUCCACAUUCUCUUAACGAGUCAAAAUAGGUUAUGUACCUUAAGAGCAUGGUAUGGUGGAGUCCUCUUGCUCUUGGAACAACAACGACCGUGUUUUUUGCUAGGAUAUGUUUUUACAAGAACGCGUAUCUAAACUGCAAGGUUUGGACCAACGGUGUGUUCCAUAGCUUGCUUCUUAACAAUGUUCUCCUCUUCCAGGACAUCUUCGUCAUCAGGACCAGUAUGCUCAGGUGGUGGAAUUGAACCUAUCUAACUACAAACACCGUCCUCUACCCAAAGAGAGCUAGAGGAACACAAAAGUAUCAAGUCACAACUCAUAAGUACAACUCAGAAAGGAAAGUUGAGCAGAUACUGAAUUUCAGUAUUUUUACCUUCCACUUUGUUUCCACUUUUCCCUAUCCAGUAUCCUGGCUUUAAAAAGUAGAACACUGACUUCCUCACACCAGAUACAUUUGGGAUGAUAUUACCGAAGUAGAUAGCCAAUGCGAACCGGAGGAAGAAUGUACGUAGCCGCUAGCCAUUCAUAUAUAUCAUUCUAACAAAGUUCAAAUGAAUAUGUUAGGGAAUCAGAGAAAUGUAUACGUAAUGGUUUGGAACUUUGGAUAAUGAAAAUUAAUUAAUGUGUUUACAUGAAAUAUAGAUUAUGUUACUAGAAACAAACUCAUAACAAAGAGUUUAAGAAUCUUGACCUUUGGAGCCUUGUCUGGGUUACAUAGCNNNNNNNNNNNNNNNNNNNNNNNNNNNNNNNNNNNNNNNNNNNNNNNNNNNNNNNNNNNNNNNNNNNNNNNNNNNNNNNNNNNNNNNNNNNNNNNNNNNNNNNNNNNNNNNNNNNNNNNNNNNNNNNNNNNNNNNNNNNNNNNNNNNNNNNNNNNNNNNNNNNNNNNNNNNNNNNNNNNNNNNNNNNNNNNNNNNNNNNNNNNNNNNNNNNNNNNNNNNNNNNNNNNNNNNNNNNNNNNNNNNNNNNNNNNNNNNNNNNNNNNNNNNNNNNNNNNNNNNNNNNNNNNNNNNNNNNNNNNNNNNNNNNNNNNNNNNNNNNNNNNNNNNNNNNNNNNNNNNNNNNNNNNNNNNNNNNNNNNNNNNNNNNNNNNNNNNNNNNNNNNNNNNNNNNNNNNNNNNNNNNNNNNNNNNNNNNNNNNNNNNNNNNNNNNNNNNNNNNNNNNNNNNNNNNNNNNNNNNNNNNNNNNNNNNNNNNNNNNNNNNNNNNNNNNNNNNNNNNNNNNNNNNNNNNNNNNNNNNNNNNNNNNNNNNNNNNNNNNNNNNNNNNNNNNNNNNNNNNNNNNNNNNNNNNNNNNNNNNNNNNNNNNNNNNNNNNNNNNNNNNNNNNNNNNNNNNNNNNNNNNNNNNNNNNNNNNNNNNNNNNNNNNNNNNNNNNNNNNNNNNNNNNNNNNNNNNNNNNNNNNNNNNNNNNNNNNNNNNNNNNNNNNNNNNNNNNNNNNNNNNNNNNNNNNNNNNNNNNNNNNNNNNNNNNNNNNNNNNNNNNNNNNNNNNNNNNNNNNNNNNNNNNNNNNNNNNNNNNNNNNNNNNNNNNNNNNNNNNNNNNNNNNNNNNNNNNNNNNNNNNNNNNNNNNNNNNNNNNNNNNNNNNNNNNNNNNNNNNNNNNNNNNNNNNNNNNNNNNNNNNNNNNNNNNNNNNNNNNNNNNNNNNNNNNNNNNNNNNNNNNNNNNNNNNNNNNNNNNNNNNNGAUGGAGAAACCAACAGUCAUGGUGGAAGAUGAAUUCCACAAAACUCAAGUCGACCUAUCCUCAUUCAUAACAUUCCACAAAAACACAUAUGCAUCAACAAAACAACGAAUUGUAAAUCGAGCAUGUUGGUACCUGAUUGGUAACAGCCUUGGCCAUGCGAGGGAAUUCCUUCCUCAUCACAGACUUGUGAACCAAGCUCGCAGGCUUGUUCCUCCUUCUUGGUGAUCUCCCAGAUCAGCUGUCCUGGAACGGUGGCCAUUGGAAACCUAGCAAAACCUGGAGAAGAAAGAGAGAGAAAGAGAGAGAUUCCAUUCCUCUUCUUCCUCCAAUCUCUAAAUCCCAACCACCAUGUCUCCCAAUUCUCAGCAUCUCUCUCACUCCCACGCGCCGCCGCCUCCCCUACAGCUCGUCUCCAUCGAUCCCAAAAUCUGGCGAGCCUGCGCCGGCAACUCCGUCUCCAUCCCCACCCUCCAUACUAGGGUUUACUACUUCCCCUAAGGCCACCUCGAACACUCCACCAACUCCGCUUCUUCUCUCCCCUCGUGUUCUCUCCAAGCCCCUCAUUCUCUGCCGCAUCGCCGCCGUCGACUUCCUCGCCAAUCCCACCACCAACGAGAUCGUCACCAAGGUCCUCCUCCACCCCGUCCAUCCUGGACUCUCCUCUCACCACGGCUCUGCCGUUAACCUGGAAAGGUCGAGAUUGAGAUUGACGUUGGCCGACUUGGCGAGCUCGGGCUUGGUCGGGCUUGGCCGCGCGCCUCUUCCGGGUGGUGGCCUUGACGGUGGACAUGGUUUGCGAGGGUUUGGAGAUUUAGGGUUUGGGAGGUUGAAAUUGGGGCAGAUCUGGGUCUCCAGAUCUAGAUGAGAGAAAUUGGUUUUAGGGUAUUAGAUAGAGGAGAGGAUUCGAUCAAUUUGAGAAUGUGAAGAGGAGAGAAUUUGGUUUUUAGGGAGGAGGAAGAGAGGUUUUGGUUCUGUGGGUGAGGAACGUUGAGAGAGAGAAAAGAGAGUUGAGAAAAGUAAAGAAAUGUAUCGGGGGGAGUUGAGAGAAUGAGAGUUGGUUUUAAGUGUCAAAAAAAACUCCCCCAAUUAUGCCAAAAAAAAAAACAGCUUCAGACACAUUUAAGUUUCUUCACCAUACGACAGUUUUCUGUCGUCUUAUAAGUGUAACAUUAGGGUACAUUUUUCCUUGUUUUUUGAACGACAAACGUAUGUCGUCUCAAAAACACGUUAAUUUUAACUACUAUUGAGUUGCUAUUUUCAGACGACACUCUUUUAAAUGUCUGUCGUUACAAUAUUCGGGACGACAGACUAAAAGUCUUUUGUCGUCUGAACCCAGUCGUCUGAAGCCAAAAAGGACGUAGUGCUUACUUACUUCUUAUUGCUGAAAUUUAAUUAUUUAUUGACAUAUACUCAUAUUGAUUCACUAAAGUUCUUUGUCUUCAAUGUUGCAGGUGACACUUGAAUGAAUGGUGCAUAUUGGAGUUUGAUGAGUAUGAUGAAAGUAUCAGAGUGCCUUAGUGCAGUUAGGACUUAGGAGGACUUUCUGCACACCACCAUAUUGUAGUUGCUAUUAUUUGGUUUGAUAUUUUUUAUAUUUUAUAGCUUAUGGGUCCCUUUAGAAUAAAUAACUCUUUGUAAUUUGAUUGGUUUUGGUAAUAAGAAUGAAUUUGAGAUUUCUGAAUCAUGUUGUGCAAAUGCUUUAUUAAAUUGUCAUCCAAAUUAAAAUCAGACAACAGAUAUCCCCAUGGACAUCGACGUCUCUACAUAUUCAAACGACAUUUAUAUGUCGUCUUAAAGUAAAAGAUGACCAUAGUAUAUGUCGUCUGAGGUAAGUAUCAGACGACAGAUAAGUGACGUUUGAAUGCAUUUGAGUCGAGAGAAGAGGUUUGACGUAUGUCGUCUGAGAUAUAUUUAGACGACAAAAUAGUAACGUGUGAAUAAGUUUGAGACGAGAGACGGCUGCUCACAUCUUUAGUAUUACUUUAGUUUCGACGAUACUUUUAUGUCGUUAAGAAGCUUUCUAACGACAGAAACUUUAAUUUUGUUACGAAUGUAGGUGCAUACAGACGACAGUUGCUUAUAUACAAUUUGUCGUCGAAGUUGUAUCAGACGUCUAACGAGGUCUGUCGACUGAAUGCUUAUCAGAUGACUGCUUGAUAGACGACAGCUGAAAAAACAUUCAGACGACCGACCUGGCAGGUCGUCUGAAGCCAAAAUUGACGUAGUGAAUCUACGUACACCAAAAAUCACUAGCAAAUAUGAACAUGAACAUAAGGCUCAACUAUGGCUUCAUCGGUUUGAUAGGCUCCACCUGAGCCAUGUCAUACCGAUCUCUUGGGCUUGACUUCAUUGUUGGGUGAUGUAGGAAGGAUGGCAGAAGCAAUCGAGGAACAGACAUUCAGUUGGGUAGCUGACAUUCAGUUUAUCAAUUAUAAUUCAGAUCUUAAGAGUUUACUCUUAGUUUCCUGGCGCGCUCCAGGUUUUGGUCCUAUAGAGUUAUUCGCUGGAAGGCGAGCACUUAUUGGGGUUUAAUGCUGGUUAGCCCUCCAUACUCCUGCUGCGUCAAGUGGUAUCUGGAGCCAGACGUUCCUGUCUCUUGUAUCCUUGAUCAUGGGUGACGUACCGAUUACUAGAGCAGACUUAGAAGGUAUCCUAGAAGGUGUUACUGCGACUUUUACCGCAGCCCUUGCUACGUUGACUAAUCAGGUGAACGAAUUGAAGACUGAUAAUAACAAUAAGAAGCGUGGAGAAAGCAGAGAUAUUCCUCAACAUAGGGUUCUACGAGGGAGAGGAACCACAAUUGCUAGCUGCUCUGAGUCUGAUUCAGAAGAUGAAGCGGUUGAUCAUGCGCAAUUAGGGCAAGAUGAUAAGGAUUUCAGGAUGAAGGUUGAUAUCCCUUUCUUUAAUGGGAUGAUGAACGUGGAGGAAUUUGUGGAUUGGCAAAUUGAAGUGGACAGAUUCAUGGAGCAUAUGAAUGUCGCAGAACAUAAGCAAGUGAAGUUGGUGGUAGCUCGUCUCAAGAGCACUGCGGCAGUUUGGUGGGAUAAAUUGGCAUUGACGAGAUUGAGGCAAAGGAAAAAACCAGUCAAGAAUUGGCGGAGGAUGAAACAAUUGAUGACAGAACGAUUUUUGCCGGAGGACUAUGAACAGAUUCUUUACAGGAUGUACCUAGAUUGUGUUCAGGGGGCGAAGACUGUAACAGAGUAUACCGCUGAGUUUGUGCGUCUUUCUGAGCGCAAUGACUUAGGCGAAUCUGAAGGGCAGAAGGUUGCUCGGUACAUCAGUAGGUUGAGACCUUCCAUACAAGAGAAGAUUCGCUUGCAAACUAUGUGGUAUGUGACUGAGGCUGCAAGCUUGGCGAUAAAGGCGGAGCUGAUGGAGAAGUCCCCUAGGGUUUCUUUUCAAUUCCCAAGAUUCACUAGUCAGAGGAGUACUGAAGUCAGGAGUUCAAUGGGAGAUCAAGGAAAAACGGUGUCGCAGAAUACAGGUGGAAUGGCCACCAGGGCAUUUGGUGCUGUUGGCAGUACUAGCAGAGCGACUCGGGCAGCACCUGUGCAGCGACCUUUUAACCCUUAUGCAAGGCCUUUUCCAGGAACUUGUUAUAAGUGUUUACAGCCUGGUCAUAGAUCCAACGAGUGUACUGCACCUCCGAAGGUGGUUAACGCAGUUCAGGCUUUGGUCGAGGCUUGUGAGGAAGACGAGACGGAGGAAGGAGGCGAUGACUAUGAAGGGGCUGAAUUUGCAGUGGAAGAUUCUCCAGAAAAGGUGAACAUUGUAUUGCAGAGAAUUUUGUUGUCUCCCAAGGAGGAGGACGGUCAACGUAGGAACAUUUUCAGAUCGUAUUGCUCUGUCAACAACAAGGUGUGUAAUAUGAUUGUGGAUAAUGGGAGUUGCGAAAAUUUUGUUGCUGAAAAGUUGGUAGAGUAUUUGAAGUGACCAACAGAGGCCCAUGUGAUGCCCUAUUCUCUGGGUUGGGUAAAGAAAGGUCCUCAAGUGCGUGUAACCAGAACUUGUAAAGUGCCUGUUUCGAUUGGUAAGCAUUAUAUGGAUGAAGUAGUUUGUGAUGUUCUGGACAUGGAUGCUUGUCAUAUUCUGUUUGGGCGUCCUUGGCAGUAUGAUGUUGAUGUUACUUACAGGGGUCGGGAUAAUGUGAUGUUGUUUAUGUGGGGUGAGUUCAAGAUUGCUAAGGCUCCUGUGGUGAACUUUGUCAAACCUGUAGAAAAGAAGAGGGAGAGCUUUCUGAUCUUGUCCAGGAAUGAGCGGGAGAUAGAGGAAGACUUUAAGGAGUCAGAGUUGUGUUGUCUUGUGGUGAUUAAGGGGUUGUUUAGUGCAGAGAAAGAACCUGUGGAGAUCCCUGAAGAGGUACAACAGUUGCUUAAGGGAUUUGAGGAAUUGAUUUCCGAUGAGCUACCAAAUGAGUUACCACCCAUGCGAGACAUCCAACACCAGAUUGAUUUUAUUUCAGGUGCCAGCUUACCAAAUCUUCCCCCUUACCGUAUGAGUCCUAAAGAGAAUGAGAUCUUGAGGGAGCAGAUUGAGGACUUGCUGAAGAAGGGGUUUAUUCGUGAGAGCAUGAGCCCUUGUGCAAUUCCAGUCCUUCUGGUUCCUAAGAAUGGCAACCAAUGGCGGAUGUGUGAGUCAGUUAGAGCUAAAUUGGAGGCCACUAAUGCAAAGAAUAAGGCUGCCGCUGAUAAGCAUCGCCGGAUUAAGUUGUUCAAGGAAGGUGAUGACGUAAUGGUGUUUUUAAGGAAGGAAAGGUUUCCUGUUGGUACCUACAAUAAGCUGCAACCCAAGAAGUAUGGUCCUUUCAAGGUACUACGGAAGAUCAAUGACAACGCUUAUGUUGUUGCACUUCCCGCUUUUAUAUCAAUUUCAAAUACCUUUAAUGUGGCUGAUAUUUAUGAGUACCAUGCGGAUGAGGCUCUUUAUUCUAUUGAGAACUCGGGGUCGAGUUCUUCGGAGGUGGAGGAGACUGAUGUAGGACGGAUGGCAGAAGCAAUCGAGGAAUAGAUCGAUCGUUGCAGGUCCAAACUCGGUUUGCUGCAGAUUUGGCGUUCGGUGUCCUAAUGACUAUUAUUAUACCUUUCUGGAAGGGGAACGGCCCAACGAACAAGACUCGUGGCUUUGCCACGAUGUAUGGGCUUUUUCGGCCAUCCGAGUUUGUUUUGGACCUCAAAUCAGCGUUUUAUUAGUUUUUGAGAUUUUAUGUUUCCUAGUUAUUUUCGGAUUCUGUUUUAAUUCAAUCCUUGGCUUUUAGGUUUGGUUGUUAGUCGCCCUAGGGUUUUGUUUCCCAUAUAUAAGCACCAUUUUGGGUAGCUGACAUUCAGUUUAUCAAUUAUAAUUCAGAUCUUAAGAGUUUACUUUUAGUUUCCUAGCGCGCUCCAGGUUUUGGUCCUAUAGAGUUUUUCGCUGGAAGACUCUCCACUUAUUGGGGUUUAACGCUGGUUAGCCCUCCAUACUCCUGCUGCAUCAUUGGGGAACCCUCAACAGUGAAGCGUACACAUGACCUAACACCAUCAAUGACAACGCCGAUCUCAACAGCGGCGGCGGUGGCUACGACAUCAAUCCCGGCGACGUCAACCCCAUUAGCGUCGAUCUCAGCAGCGAGCCGCACAUCGACAACUAUCACGGCAGCAACAGAGGAUGUUACUGCCAUCGUCAAUUUGGUUGCUCCUUGCGAACCAUUUGAGAGACCCUUGGGACUGGAUUUUAUUGAGGGUGGAGGAUCUUUGUCUCUGCCAAAGACCCAAUCUCGAACACAGACCUUUGCUUCCAUUGUUGGAGGUUCAAUUGAUACAAUUGACCCUACCAUCAUUUGCCAACUACCAAACCCAGAGGUACACGGUGACAUGAUCUAUGUCAAGAUUAGUGACGAUUUAUAUUAUGAACAAUUGCAGAAAUUUCGCACUAAUCUCAUUGGUAGACUUCUACUUCGUAAAGGAUCGGUUCCUAUGAGAACUGAUUCUCUGAAAGCUUCCAUUGCGGCUCAGUGGAACACUACGAACCCAUGGCAGUUGGUUCCAUUGGGUAAGGGUUUCUUUGACAUUCAUUUCAAUAGUGAAGAUGACAUGAGAAGAAUUUGGAGAAGUGGUACAUGUUCUCUCGCUAAUGGAAUUUUUCGGUUAUUCGAAUGGAAGCCAGACUUCAUACCCGGUGCUAAUCUGCCUCAAACACACACCCAAGUGUGGAUACGAAUUUCUGGAUUAAGCCAAGACUAUUGGCAUCCUCGCCAUCUCAUGGAGAUUGCCCAUGGGGUAGGGACACCAUUGCAGAUAGACAAAGCGACGAGGGAGCGUCAAUUUGGUUAUCGGGCCUAUUGAUUCAACAAUGGCGGUGUUGGUUUGUCCAAGUGAACCACAAUUAGAGAGCAUUGUUACAACAAGAUCUGCAGGUAAUAUUGUUAAUGUUACUGUUAGUAACAACUUUGAAUGCCGAUAAUAGGAGUAGGACUGCCGCCAAUGUUAGCUUGUUUGUGGAAUUUGUAACUGAUCGAGAGGAUUUUUGGUAUAUACCAAAUGGUUGUUUUGUUGAAUGUUGAUGAUAAGUGAAGCAGUAUAUUCCGGAUUCGGCCUUUUGUAGUCGUAGGCGGGGGGAAGUUUCCGGACAACUUCACUCUCUGCUCGAGCUAGCUUUCUAUUCCAGACUGGGUCGUCGUCAUUUGCUGGAUUUUAAUAAAACACAAAGGACCAUGGAAAGACUCAUGAGUCUUCUGUUCUCGGGUUGACGUUUGGUCAAUUGCAGUAUAUGAAGAAUUGAAGAUGAACUGGUCCCGCCUUUUAAUCAUCUCCAGCUACCACGCAAAAACAAAAAAAGCAGAAAAAAAAGUCUUGCAUCUUUGGACGCAUCCGCGCGACUUGGACUUUAGUAGUCGACAUUGAAGUGAUCCACUCGUCCUUAUAACUCGGGGUUAAUUUGCUCGAUCAAGAUUCUCCUCCAUUUUAUAAAAAUGGUUUUUUCCCUUCUUUUUAUAAAAUGGAGGAGAAUCUUGAUCGAGUAAAUUAACCCCGAGUUAGGGAAAAAGCCCUAAUGCACAAAAUAGAAAAAGUCAAACCCCAUUUCAAUGAUAAUCUUUUUUAUUAGCCCAUUUGAAUACAAGGUACUUAUUUUAAGCCCAAAUACACAAAUCUUUAUUAAAAUAUAAUAAAAUGAUAUUUUAAAAGACUUUUUUACCCUUAACCUUUAUUUAAAGAGAAAAAAUGAAAAAGAAGAAGGGAAGACUUUCCCGGAAGCACACCGGACACCGGCGCCGGUCACCGGAUUCCGGUCGCCGGAAAAUUGAUGGUGAUCGGAAAAUCGCCGGAGAUGCCGGAGUCUCACUGGAUUUUUUUGAAAAAAAUGUCACCGGAACCCACCGGAUCUUGCCGGAAGCAUACCGGCAAAAAAAUGAAGAUUACUACCCCUAGUAAACUUUUACUGGGGGUAGUAAACUUGCAAAACAGUAGCUCCAAUGCCAUAAUUCACAUUGAAAAAGANNNNNNNNNNNNNNNNNNNNNNNNNNNNNNNNNNNNNNNNNNNNNNNNNNNNNNNNNNNNNNNNNNNNNNNNNNNNNNNNNNNNNNNNNNNNNNNNNNNNNNNNNNNNNNNNNNNNNNNNNNNNNNNNNNNUGCAAUACAAUAUUUUCCUAGUCAGUAUAUACAUUAAAACACAAAAGAAAAUCAACUUAGAUACGGACAAAUAAAGUUUACUACCCUUAGUAAACUUCUACUGGGGGUAGUAAACCGGCCAAGAUAGGACGACCACCUCUGAUCGGAGACGAAGGAGGUUAGAUGAAUCAUAAACAUCUACAGGUUAUGCACAAUGCUUUUAUACACGUGCUCUAGCAAACUAAAAGCUCAACCCACUGCAAUGAAUCAAAGCUCAUGCAAUUGCAGCCCAAGUCUCCCCAAAUUUAAAACACAAAGGAGUCCAUGAUCAAAAGUAAUCACAUACAGAAGGAUCAGUAAAAGAAAAUUAGUACUCAAAUUUAUGAUUCAAAGCUAAUGCUUGUCGUGAGUGAAAGUAAAUUGGAUUCCCAUGAGCAAAAGUAAACUUGAACAUAUACUAGAACAAUAUAUGACUUCUGUGAAAUUGAUUUAUGUAUCUUCUGAGAAAGGAAACAUUUUUCUACCAAUUUCACUUCUAACAGUAAAACUCUCACUCUAACAGUAAGAACUCCAUGUAAAUUCCAAUUAAACAUAAGCGCAAUUUGAUUAAAAUUACCACUAAAGCACCGACUGGCUUGGCGGUUCCAGAUCUGGCCGCGUUCCUAGUCCGAGCGGCGGCGUUGGUAGCUGCGGUGACCGGAGGAAGCUUCACGUAGCCGUUGGACCUUACCGAUAUGCUCCUCGGGAGCGCAAUCCUCUCCACAUUAACAUUCUUGGUGUUUUCCUUGUCCAUGACGUCACUCGUCUGACUGUGAUCGGUCAAUUCCUUUUCCUCCUUGCCGUCAAUUGACAGGCCACGAAUCCCGUUGACGAUCCCAAACGGCGACCUUGGCUGGCUCGCCACAGAGCUUGAGGAAGCUUCGAUCUCUUUCUGUAAAUUCCAAUCUCUUUCGGUGCCGGAUCUGUGAGUGAGAGUUAGAGAGAGAGAGAGAGGUUUGCAGAUCCUUCGUUAGAGAGUCAUCGUCGUAGAGGCAUUGGUCGGCGUCAGUGACGCUUUGAUCGGCGUUGGCUUGCUUCGGCCAGGCAUGGCUGGCUUCAGAUCUCGUGGAGGAUGAGAGAGAGAGAGAGAGAGAGAGAGUUAAUGAUCGGGAAAAAAGAGGAGAAAAAGAGUUAAAUUAGGAUGAGGGUAUUGACGUCUUUUUAUUAGAAUUCAUUGGAAUGGGGUUGGUAAAGAGAUUUUCAUUGGAAUAGGCAAUAAACCUUUAAAAUUAGUACUAAAGUGUCAUUUACUCUAAAAAGAAAACCUUGAUCUAAUUAGAAUCGGAAAAUCAAUAUCUCACAACUCAUGCAUUUGGUAAUUGUUUGACUAGUUUGCACUAGAUGAUGCCCGCGCGUUGCCACGGUUUGCAAUGACAGACAUUAACAUAUCGUAAAUGCUUAUGUAUGGAUUAUUCUGCUGUUAUUUUAUGUGUUGAUGGUUGCAGCAACAUAAGAGGGACAUUAUAUAGACAUUAUAGACAGUACAUUACAUGCAGAUGACGCAGAAAAUGGAAUAUUAGAUUUACAAAAAUCCAUGAAUUUAGCGUCCGAUGCCAUACAAAUGUACAAAAUUUGGUCACCCUAUUGGAUUUGAUAUUUCUUGACAGCAUCAGCGCUUCACCUGUUAACAAAGAGUGAACAACUUGUCAGGAUACUUUUAUGUUACCAAUCCACUUAGGCCGUUUCUUUUUUUUUUUUUUUUUUUUUUUUUUUAAUUUUUUACAAAUGACUGCGAAUUUUUUUUAAAUCUCAUUGGUGCAAGAAAACAGAGUUAAUCUGCAAUUAAAGUAGCUCUCUGUAAUGCAGCAAAGUAUGUCGCGACUCAGUUGCAUAAAGAACAGAGGCAAAAUUGAAUUCUAGGCAUUUCAAUACAUUGUAUAAAUUUAAUUGCCACAUUAGGAUGAUGCCUGCACAUUGCCACGGUAUGCAAUGACGGAUAGUAACUUAUUGUAACUGCUUUUGUAUUACUUAAGAGUGAAAAAGUUCUUACAUCAAUCACAACUCUGGCCUAUUGCAAGACCUCCUCCUGUGUAGUGCUCCACUAUAUUUAGUGUAGGCUCCAAGCUCAUCAGCGGAGCCAAUAUCUCUAGCCUGAUCAAGGAAUAAACUUUUGAGUGCCAAGGAAAACCAAAGCUUCAUAUGUAGAACGGCUCAAAUCAAGUCAAAUUUCUGAAUUUUAAUUGAACACACCGCGUAUAUAACUCUUGCACCUCCUCCGGCAACCAUAGUCCAAAUUCUUCCCUUAGCGUUCAGUCAAUUUCAAAGAUGCACAUGUCUGCAAGCAAUUGACAAAUGAACCUGAUUAAAGCAUGAUACUAAAUGGAAUUAUCUAAUUGGUGAAUAUAUUUCCUUAUGAACAUGGGGUGUUUCUGUAUGAAUAUUGAAAGCAAUUAAAAUUGAAUACAACCCAAAUCCUGCAUGAAAACUAUCAUUGGCUUUUAAAAAAAUGUCAUUGAUGAGGUAAGGCAUCUGUUCGUACCUUUUCAUCUAGCCAAUGAAUAAACAUUAAUGUAGGACUCAUAACUCUUCCAAACAACAUUGGAAUUCAAUAUUGCCCCACCUGAAACAAUAAUAUCAUGUAAGGUGGUGUUGAAAAUGGUACGCUAAAAUAGAAGAAACAUUAGAUAGUAUCAAAUGGCUUUUGUCAACUGAGGGUAAUAACAACAGAAAGUGAAUGCAGUUAUUGAAGUUCUUGAAAGCACCAGUGUCAUCCAGCUCACCUCUCAUAUCCAAAGGAUAUGGCUUUCCAUCAACCAAUGCAAAAGGAUUCAUCUCCAGAACAGCGAAGUCGAGAUCUGAAACAUAUGAAUUGUUAAUAAGGUUGUUCUUGAAAAUGUACCAUCAAAUGGAACCGUUAAAGACUUCCAACACCCUUAAAAUAGAACCAAAAAAAAAAAAAAAAAAAAAAAACAAACUUAGACAAACUCCUCAUUUUCACUUUUAAUCAGGAUCCCAAAAUAUAAUCUGUUAAUGAAAUUUGAGCAAAAAAUGAACAUGAACUCAAGCAUCAAGAAUCAGACAUAAUAAAAUAACUUGAUUGUUCACGGAUACAACAACGCAAUACCUUUCUUUGUGAGGAAUAUGGAUCGCAAUCCAGGCAAAAUAAACUAUGGCCAAGAAACAAAACCUCUAUCAGAUCAACAACACACAACAAAUACUUCAAUUAGAUCAUGUUAGGAGCUAAAAAGAACACACCCACAACAGAUGCUACCGAUGAAACCUUCAACAUGAAAACCAACACCAAACCAAUCCGACGAACACAUAACUUUUGAUAAUAGAAUGAAUCCACAGAGAGCCCGGCAGACCACUGCCGAUGAAUAGCCCAAACUACUAUUUAAGAAUUGAUGAAAGCGUUGGUAUCAAAACAAAGGUAUAAAGACGAUUAGGGAAAAUGAUUACCAGAAAGGUAAGGAACUGAAUCAAAGUCUCCUAAACCCACUAAAUAAAAAUUGUAGUGUUAGACUAAGCAUAUCCAACCUUAAUCAUUCAGAUGCAGCACAACUACACCAAAUCAUGAUUUACUGAAGUUCAAUGAAAUUGGCUAACCCCCUUGCGCUGUGAAUGCAAGUGGAAGGCAACCACACUCGGCUACUUGCAUUCCGAACUGUUCUCAGCUUCAUUUUCUUUGUGCAUUCAUAAUCUGCAAAAAAAUAACAGUCAUUCAAUAAUUCUGGAUUCUUUGGGAACUGCUUAAAGCAAAGCCUUAAGUUAAGUCUUUACUCUUAAAGCAAACCUCAGUGAAUUAUAUUAAAUACCAUCAAUACGUAAUUUUUAUCGAAUGUUGUGUGACAUGAUUUUGUGGAGCUCAUCAUAGGGAGAGUAUUUUUUUGACAAACACCAUAGGGAAGUGAAAAGAACCAAGGAAAGUUCCCAUCUAAUUUCAUAAGCACCUGCUAGUAAAUAAGGCUUGACCUGCACAUGUAAAUGGAGAAAGGCACAAUGAAUAAGGCUAACAAUGCAAUGCAAUGCAAAUAUAUUUUCAAAACAAUUCACUUUCAGGCACAUUAAUAUCACCUACAGGUAAAUAAAUAUGAGUUGAAAAAAUGAAAAGUGGGAAGACAAACUAUAAAAGGAAUUUCACAUGUAGUUAAAUAGUACUACAUUAAAAACUCUCAUACAAUAUACAUCAGAGGCACAGAAAGGUAGUAAAAAAUUAAAAUAUAAACAGAAGUAUCAUUCUCCUCCUUCAUAAUAGUAAUAAUUCAUAUAAAAUCCUAAACUCUAAAAGAUUAUGAAAUUCUCCCUUUCAAGUGUAAAAGAAGGUUCACCACUUAUGCAACAUAGAAAAGAAAGCUGGAACAAAACAUCAAUGAAAGCUUAAAAGCAGUAGAUAAUGGCAAAAAGCAUUUUUCUUUGUUUCCAUGCGCAGGUCAGAAAUUUAGAAAUUGCAAAGAAUUCACAAUAUUCUUAGCCUAGCCUUACGUGACUUCAUUUAACCAUACUGCUAGUCUUAUGCUCAUCUUUUGAUCUUUUAGUUGGACGAUUUCUAUAUAAACAUAAGUGGUACUUCAACACAAAAUCACAGCUUCAGGUGCCACUGAUUUCCAACCACCAUCAAAAGGACAAUUGUGUAAUACUUUCCCAGUUCUCUUUAACUGUCAUUUCUCCCAUGUGAAGAUCAUUUUGACUUAUAUAAGCUGAUGUUCUAAGAAACAAAUUCUGCCAUAUUGUGCCCAUUAUAUGUAACUUACCCCGAAGACUCAAGAUACAUCAAUUACCCUAUUAGACCAGAUUUUUACUGAAGAAAAUUAAUGAACAAAAAGGGCCAAAGUUAACUGUUCUUACUUUCAUAUUUUUACCAACUCUUCCUGCAAGAGCCAAUAGUAAUGUGGUUUUCCUGGAACUUGGGAGAUCUAAAAGAAAAGUCAUUCUGCAAGAAUCAAUUGAAAUAAGAACUGUUUGAUAAGAGCUAGAAUCCAAAUGCGAGAAUCAAUAAAUAAUGAAAAUGUUACUACACAUAUACCAUCAUCACAGGUUUUGUCGUAAGAUCUAUCACUGCAAGAACAUAUAACUUCAUUGUUAUCGAAUCCACAAAACCCACCACUCCUCACGCAAACCAUCAGUGUGAGGUACAUGGUUUUGAUCUGGUUCUAAAUGUUCCCUGGGCAAUGUUAAUGCAAUGUCUGUUCCUACACCAGCAUACCAACUCAGAAGUGAUUCAUUUUGCAUAUUAAAUCGUAACAGUUCUAUUAUAUUGCCACAAUCAAUCAAUCACAGUCAACUUAGUGGACAACAAAGAUUCAUGCAAACCUCUUUGUUUUUAUAUACAAACCCGCUGUAUUUAUAUACAACCUAGAAGCAUCUUCAUCUAUAUGUUUGUACAUGUCCAAACCCUUUCUUUUUCUCUUUUUUGAUCCAAUCUUGAUAAUUGGGCAGUAGGUAGUUUCUUACUAACUCUGUGUACCAAACCAUGUAUGGCUCCAAAGAUAAUAUAUAAAAGAAAUGUAAUCAAUAUGUAUGUUCAAAGGUUACUGAAUGUCUGUAUCUGAUAUAUAAUGAUCAUAUACAUGUCACAGAUGAGAAGAGGAGCUGUCUGUUGAUGAUGAUUGAUCACUAAUUGCCAAAUUGUAACAAUUUUCUUUAUCUUUGUUUUGCACUUUUUUUCCCUUGAUUUUCUAAAAAGGGUUUGACCUUAACACUUCAUCUAUGGAUUGAACUGAACAGAAAACUGAUGUUAAAAGACAUUGAUUUACUUUCCACCAGUAGAAAAUGAUUGGACAUCUUCAGCUAUAAUGGUGAUGCAACACACUGCUUCUGGUCUGAAAUACCCGUUUCCUACAACUAAUUUCAUGAGAAAAAUUCAGAACCCAAUUACAAAACACCACCCAUACUACAUAUGCAACUAACCAUACAACUAAAUACCUUAUUUUGUGAGGAAAACCGAUAGCUAUCCAGGCAAAAUAAAAAAUUAGGCCAAAAACAAACCCCAAUCAGAUCAAUAACACACAACAAAUACUUCAAUUAGAUCAUGUUAGGAGUUAAAAAGAACAUACCCACAACAUAUGCUACCAACGAAACCGUCAACAUGCAAACUAACACCGAACCAAUCCGACGAACACAAAACUUCUGAUAAUAGAAUGAACCCACAGAGUCUGCCGGACCACCGCCGAUUAAAAACCUAGACUCUUGUUUACGAAUUGGUGAAAGUAUUGGCAAUUUGGCAUUAAAACAAAGAUAAAAGACGAUCAGGACAAUUGAAAUAGAAACUCAAAAUGGAUCAUAUACAGAACAAUGUCCUCACCUUGACGAUUUGAUCAUAUACAAAACAAAGUCCAUACCUCGACGAUUACAUUGAGAAGAGCAACACAUAUUUUCAUUCCACGAAACCCAUCUCUCUCUGACUACAAAGAGCGACAGAGAAGAUGGUCAAUACUCAAUACACUCAAAUCCAUCAUGCAGAAGAAGCCAUCAACGCCAGACGUCGACGAAAAACACAAAUGGCAACAACCCAGACUCACAAAUGUCAAACGCAGUUAUAUAAAGAACAAACAGGUGUCAAGACAGAGCAGAUAAUGGUAAUUUUGUGAUUAGUUGCGAGCUGAGGGCAGAACCGUUUUUUUGCAGGCUGAAUGAACAGUUGUAAUGUCUUUCUGUUUUAGUAGGGGUUUUUUACACCAACAGUGUCUGAACACUUGGGUGACUGACAAUAUGGUACCCGAACUUACAAAGUUAUCAAAAUGGUACCUAAACUCGAUUUUUAGUAUCUGCGUAAUACCUGUGGUUAAUCUCCGUCAACGGACUUGUUAAAUGAGGCAAAAAGACUUAUUUGUCCUCCAUUCUCUCUGUCGUCGAUCUACCUUAUAGAGUUCUAGGUGCUGGACUCUCAGUGCCGGUAUGAUUUGAGAUGGGGGAAANAUAAUAUUUCAGAUGGAGAAAGAGACGCUANNNNNNNNNNNNNNNNNNNNCAAAAGUAGCAAUCCCAGAUGAUAUGUUUAUUGAGAACUAGGAUUCCAAAUGUAGAAUUAGUUGGGUAUAUAUGCAAUCUAAGAUGCAAAAUGAUAAACAAAACAAAGAAAAGCAAGGUUCGCAAUACCAAUUCGAACAUAUACGCACGCAGCAGUUUAGUAUUCCACAGGUAAACCAUAAAACAAUAAAAUUUUGCAAGCAGCAAAGUAAAACCUCAACAUACAAAACUUCCCACGAGUCCCAAUUCCAAGCAAAACCCAAUACUCAAAACUGACAAACCAAGCUAAUAAACAUAUAAAGAUAGAAUCUUGACUGUAAAAACCAGAACCGAACAAAGCAAAACAAAGAUGGGAGCUUUGAUAAGUACCAGAUGGAAAGGAAGUGACUAGAGAAUAGAGGAAGUCGAAGACGAAGUUGAGGGCUGCUGUUAGAAAUAGUCGCAGCCUCCUUCAUGGAUAACGCUACACAACAACAACUGGAUGCCCAGAAUAGUUUUUUCGAUGUCGGAUCUCUCAGAGACGGCUGCUCUACGCUCGUCGCGUCGCGUCGCUAUGUCUGAGAGAUCGACGUGGAUGCCGUCGAAGAUGAAGGAGGGGCGGAACGUUUGGAUGGGUGGAGUUGAGUACGGUCGAUGAAGUCGGCGAAGAAUUGGGCCUGGGUCGUGUUGGCCAUUUGCAGAGAACGGCAGUACAGCAGCCAUUAGAGGGGGAUGAGAAAAGAUAAAGGAAGAGAAAGGAAGAGCAACGAAAAAUUAUAAUCCCAAGCACGAGACGCGCCUAGCUUCGGCGUGUUUGCAAGCAAGUGGUAAAAUUUUGUUUUUACCAAUUUACUUCCGUCAGUAGACAAAUGCGGAGCACAGACGCUCCGGAGCAUUCCAGACGUCUCCCACGCACGCUGGCUUAUACUGUUUGAGAUUUCCCCAUGCAAGCUUCUAGAUGAAGGGAGCGGUCCAACUUGUCUGUUUGGUUCCAGUAUGUGUUCCCAAUUCAACUGGCUAUUACUUGAUAUCUGUAAGUCCUCACUAUUGCUAUAAUGAUAAAUGUUGAGCCAAUUAAUCCAAAGGAAUAUGCCUGUUCAUGAUGAUAGUCUACAGCCUUGAAUUUCGAUGUAUGUUUCGAAACUGAGAGCCUAUUCGGCGCACCCGGGUGCGCGACGCACCCGUCAUCUCCACCGUUAAAAUUUUUUUUUUCGGGUCAAAAUCGACGGUGGAUACACCUGGUGCGCCGCGCACCCGGGUGCGCUGUAUAAUUUCCAUUCGAAACUAAGCAUACUAUAGAAUCGAUGAAUAUAAUACUGUUAUAUGACUGGUUGCUUAAUAAAUUGCAGAGUAAAAAAUGCAGGGAAAAAAUUGAAAACAACCACAUUAAUUUGCACGUAUCAAAUUAAUAGUAUGCUUACAUACACUUAUUUUAUGAGGCACUACUAAAAAUGAAACAAGGAUUACAACAACGCAUGGUAUAUAAAUCAAAAGGAAUACACCAACUAAUAUCUAUCUUCCACCACCAUUUCCAUUUGGCAUCAACAUCUGAAUUUGCAUGCUGUCAUACCCAGAAGUCGUACCACUAGAAUUUUGAUCACCUCCUCUAGCAUCCAUAACAUAACUGUCUGAAUUAGGUGACCCAAGCAAGUACUCAUUCUCUUCUGGACAGAAUGUAGCAUUCUUUCCCCACGGAUGCUUUGCCAUAAUUGCCAUUCCCUCUAGCUCCAUGGCGACUUCUUUCAUGCUAGGCCUUUCCUCCCCUUUUAACCUCUAAACACCUUUUUGCCGAGAUUGGCCACGUUUACUGCUGUCUCAAUGUUUCCCUCAUUCACUAUGCAUCAUCAAGAAUUUCUCUUAAACAGUCUUCAUCCAUGGAAGAAACAAGAUGCUUGNNNNNNNNNNNNNNNNNNNNAGAUGGAGAAAGAGAGCUAGAACUAGAGAGUUUUUUGGUGUAAUAUUAUUUUAAUUUUCAAUAUAUUCAUUUUAGGGUUUGUCAGAGUCAAAAGUCUUUUUUACCCUCAUUAUUUUAACACACAUAUGUCACCUAUGGUCAAUGUUAACGUUGACGUGACGAAAAAUCGGCCGUGGGUACUAUGUAGAUACUAAAAAUUGAGUUUGGGUACCAUUUUGAUAACUUUGUAAGUUCGGGUACCAUAUUGUCAGUCACCCAAGUGUUCAGACAUUAUUGGUGCCGAAAAUCCGUUUUAGUAUAUCUAAUGUCUAGACUAAUAGACACAUCUCAGUCAGCAUCAACACUAAUAUGAUACGAGUCCUAAGCUUUGAGAGUGCUAAUCUCAUAAUCACUUGAGUUUGUAUAAGUUACACUCAUUGUGUUGUUCUCAUUGUUUUUUAAUACUAAGUUGAACAAUAACAACGCUCAUCCCCUGCAUAAUCUAAUUGAGUUAGGUGGCUAUAGCUUUAUAUAUAUUGGUGGACAAGAUACACCGUUGCAUCUCAAUUUAGGUAGUUGUAAAUUGUAACUUGUUUGGUUUAUUAGUAUAUGUCAGUUUCUAGACGGUAAGAUCAUGUCAUCAAGGUGCCAAGUAGGUGUAAAUGGUAUUAAACAAUUUCCUUUUGCAAUACGAAGAUGACUGGUGGAAAAUUUCUAAUUUGAAUUAUGAAUAUGACAUGACUUGUGGAAAUUUUCCAAGCGAAAACUAGUGACAGCAUGCAGAUUCAACUAGUGUAAUACCUAUCUACCUACUUUGCAUAUUAUGUACAAUACAUAUCUCCUUAACUAGUUCCCUAGUUGACUUGGUACUUCAAGCAAGGUAGGUUCGAGAUUUGUGAUGUUCACUUGAAUGAAUGAGCAAGUAAUUCUUUACAAGCUAAGUUUUAUUUUCCCGGUUAGGCUAAAAAUAGUGUAACUCUACUGUUGCUUUGGGGCUUAAGCUCUGGUGGUUGUAGUUUUCCUUCACAGUUACUCAGUGAAGUCAUGAGCAUAUAUUGCCUUAAAAUACCAUUAGCACUCGUGUACUGUAACACUGUUGGGCUCUAUUGGUCCAUGAUUCUUCAUUAGAUUGAAUGGGGAAGCUUUAUAAUCUGUAAAUUGCAUGGCUUCUGUUGUCAUAUCAUCAUCUUCUUGUUGAAAAGAUGUCUUCUUGACAAGGAUUACCUGUUCAGUUUGCAGGCACGCUGGCUUAUACUGUUUGAGAUUUCCCCAGGCAAGCUUCUAGAUGAAGGGAGCGGUCCAACUUGUCUGUUUGGUUCCAGUAUGUGUUCCCAGUUCAACUGGCUAUUACUUGAUAUCUGUAAGUCCUCACUAUUGCUAUAAUGAUAAAUGUUGAGCCAAUUAAUCCAGAGGAAUAUGCCUGUUCAUGAUGAUAGUCUAAAGCCUUGAUUUCGAUGUAUGCUUCGAAAUUAAGCAUACUACAGAAUCAAUGAAUAUUGUUAUAUGCCUGGUUGCUUAAUGAAUUGCAUAGAGUAAGAAAUGCAGGGAAAGAACUGAAAACAACACAUUAAUUUGCAUGUAUCAAAUUAAUAGUAUGCGCUUGCAUACACUUAUUUUACGAGGUACUAAAAAUGAAACAAGGAUUACAACAAAUCAAAAGGAAUACACCAACUAAUAUCUAUCUUCCACCACCAUUUCCAUUUGGCAUCAACAUCUGAAUUUGCAUGCUGUCAUACCCAGAAGUCGUACCACUAGAAUUUUGAUCACCUCCUCUAGCAUCCAUAACAUAACUGUCUGAAUUAGGUGACCCAAGCAAGUACUCAUUCUCUUCUGGACAGAAUGUAGCAUUNNNNNNNNNNNNNNNNNNNNAGGAGUGUAAGUGUGCUAGUGCUCCUGCUGUUUCAACAGCUAUCUUCAUUCGUAGUUCCAAUGACAGUGGUGACCUCUUUUUAUGAAUGUGGUCAUGUAGAGUGCCAUGGGCGACAAACUCGUAUACUAGUAAUGGCACUGCUGUCUCUAAACAACCUAGUAGCUUCACCACAUUUCUGUGGUUGAUUUGGGAAAGAACAAUCACCUCAUUAACGAACUGUUCGAUCUGUGUCGAGGUACCUCCUUUUGACUUCUUUAUGGCAACCUCUUUGUUAUCGGGUAGCACCCCUUUAUAGACCGUUCCGAAGCCUCCUUCUCCGAGGACUUGGCUCUCAUGGUAAUUGUUUGUUGCCUUCUCUAGUUCUUCUGUGGUGAAUACUUUUGUUGUCUGCACUCCAUGGUUCUUAAGUUUCUGUUGUAGCAAUAAGCCACCAUUCUCUUUAAAGUUUCUUUCUUUGAGUUUCUUGAGCUUUUUGUUCUUCAUUGUAAAACAAAUCCAUGAAAUUCCAACGAACAGAACCAAGAAGCCCCCAGUUACACCUGCAGAUAUAUGUCAACAAUCAAUAAUGGUGGUUAUCGAGGCAAACUCGCAAUGAGAUUAGAAAUAGUACAUACUCAAUGAUACAAUAAGCAGGAGCGUCGUCUUUGUUUGUUUUUUGCGAAUCUCCUGAAUACAACUUUGAUGAUUCGUUCCAUUGCUUAUGUACCCUCUGUCACACAAACACUUCCAGGUGAAUUUUGACACGUUCCAUUGGUGCGGGUGUUUGAAACCUUGCACUCAUCGAUAUCUGAAAGAAAAUCAGGAAACGCAUUUUAUAAAUCAACCCAAAAUCAGAUAGACUUUUAAUUUCUGGCUGCAGCACUGACUCACACACACACAAACACACACCCUCAAACAAAUUAGAUAUCAAGUGCAUAUUUCACCUUGGCAUCCAUCAGGGAGGUAGGGAUUUCCUUGAUAACCCUCUAGGCAUUGGCAGAUAUGACCAGAUCGGUCAUUGCUGAUGGUCCGAUCGACACACUUACUAUUUGCCUUGCAUGCGUAAUCAGUCUUUCUUUUGAGCUUCAUCACAUGAAACUUCUCCAAUUUCCAAUUCAGAAUCAUGGGAAGCUUUUCAAUGUUGGACAGAUAUUGGAAACUUGUAUUCGGGGAAAAGGUAAACUUGCCUUCUUCCACAAUGAAGGCAUAGCUGCAUUAUUGAAGUCCAGUACGUAUGUAUGAUUAUAAUAACUGUCCAGUGUGACAGUGUAGUUGAAAAGUCCGAUAGGGAUGUCAGUUUUGCAACAGCCAGCACCGGAGCAAGACUGUUCGACGCUGUCACUGUUAGCACAUAUGGACGUACAUCCGGUCAUUAACCACUCUUCGUCUGCACGGUAGCCUCUGAAAAUUGCGUAAGUGUCGCAACCAACGGCAAUGAACUUGUUUCUAGUAUGAGAAACGGUGAAAGGAUGCACCCAGAGAUCUGUUCGAACGUAAUAAUUCUCGCCCUGGCUGUUAUAGCAAUCGCUGGCUACAAACUGCUGUAUCUGCAUCUCACCCUCAGCCAGAGAUAUGUUGGUAAUAACGAUGUUACCAUCUCCCAACGUUGCUAUUGGAGGUUCAGCGGAUGUGUUACAACGGACAGGAAAGUCUUCUGACAUGUAACAAUCCUUUUCUAUGCCAAACGGAUAUGGAAUGGUGAGAUUGCCGCAGUGGUCAGUGCAGCCAGGCUUGGCUUGAGGCGGGACCGCUUCAGCUGCUACUGCUUCUUCGGCCGCUGCCGCAAAUGCGAAGAGAACCGAUAGCACCACCAGUAUGAAUUGCAUACUUAAGUCAGUAUCCGCUAGCGAAAGUUAUCCUAUAAGUCUAUAACUCCAUAAGGUUUAACCCCCAUGUACGAUGGAAGCUGAAGCCUUAUAUAUGUUAGAGAAAUUUUAAAUACACACCUUUAAUCUCUUAAUAUACACCUCGAUUAUUUUAUAUUUCACAUUAGAUUUUAUAGGUAUGUAUAAUUACAAAAACAUUCAUCAAUUAUUAAGGGAAAAAAACACCAUCUUAUCAAAAACCUAACUCUUCUCCACUAUUACUACGCAUCAAAAGAAAAUAAAUAAAAACCUCUUCUCCAAAAUUCAUCACCUGAAUUUCGACUAAUGUCGUAAUCACAUAUACUAUUUACCGAUUCAUUUGGGUUUUUUUUUAACCAACUUUAGUUUUAUGCUAUUAUACUUCUACAAGUUUCUUAACUUUGAAAAAAUUAUGUAUGUUUAAUAUUUUUUUUUCUUCAAAUUCUAGCCGAUUAAUGUCAUAUUGAAGAUUUGGAGUUUGAAUAUAAUAUUACUCUUUUGAUUGUAAAUUGAAAAAUAUCAAAAAAAAAUUUCUAACCCAAUCAAAAAAAAUACUAAAAGAAAAAAAAACGUAAACAGAGUUGUAAAAUAGUAAAUAUAUAAUAAUUAUAUUAAAUAACAUAUUAUUAUUAGUUUUAGAUUGAAGGUAUUUUAGGCAGUUUGGGAUGUGUAUUUAGUAUAAUAUUGAAAUGAAAAACUAAAUAGGUAGUGUAUUAAGUAAGGGGUGUGUAUUAAAAUAUCAGAGAUGUGUAUUUAAAAUUACUCAUAUAUGUUUAGUCUCGAGUUAUAAAAUAUAUACAAGAAGUGAACUAAUUAAUCGAGCCAAGACUUUAGGUUCAAGUUUUAUAACAUAAAUUACGAGUUCGAUUAAUUAGUCUAGUUAGGUGUAAACGCAACGUACUUCUUUAUUAUUCAAGUCUUAUUUUUUGAGUUAACUGACAUAUAUAAACAAAGAUGCUAUCAACUACAUGUAUAUUCUCUUACCUUGUAAAAUAAGUCUUCCAAAAAAAAACAGUAAAGCUUUCAAGUGAACUUUCAAAAUCGUAGUACAGCGCGGACAUAAUUUCAGGUACUUAUGAACUUGCUAAUGAAAGUUUUAAGAAAUCCAAAAAAUUUAAUAGAGGUUAUGUGUUUCUGCUAAAAAUAAAAAUGCAUUAGUGAGAUUAAGUGCAUGCAGCAGGGUUGGUUAAUAGACUUUAACUUCUUCGUCGCUAGUCAAUUCUAAUUUAUAUACUCAUACAUCAUCACUUGCGUAUAAUUUAAUCUAAUCUAAACACCAUAAGACAUCCUAACCAAAGAAAUAGGUUCAGUCUAAUCUAUACACCGUUAUUCCUUCUUCUUUUAAUUUACAAUUUAUAUAGAAUAUGAAACAAUGUAUAAUGUUUUUCAUUUGGUAUCUCAAUAAUGUGAGAUUGAUUAGGACCAAGAAAGGAAAACAAAAAGAAAGACUACUCCCUUCGCUGGCUAGCUAAUUGACUAUUAAUGCAUGCGGGCUUGAUUGACCAUUAGUUUCAUACUUCCGGUUUGACCAUUAGUUUCGCUGGCUAGCUAAUUGACUAUUAAUACUAUCAUUAUGUCCAGUUAAAUUCUAAAGAAAUACCAUAAUGGGAACAUAUAUGAUAGAUUGAUGGACAGAAGACCCCUAUAAAAGACAUUACAGGACUCACUUUCAGAUCAUAAACAUACACAAAUUAGUACUAGCAUAUAUCGUGAGUUAUUCCUUAUAAUCACUCGCGCAAUACUUGAACGCCAUGGCCUUAAUACAUGGUAGGAUGCAAAUGCUUAUUAUCCAGCUCUCUUUGUUAACGGUGGCAGUAACCCUAGCAUCUUCUCAAGCGCCAAGGCCUGCAACCUGCUCCGACCGCUGCGGUGAUGUCGAAAUCCCAUAUCCAUUCGGCAUAGAGCCUAGCUGUUACAUAGAGGUGCCGGAACAAGAUGAACAGCAAUUCAAGGUCACCUGUGACCACGCCACCACGCCACCGUUACUCAAGUUCUUGAACGGUGAUAUCCUCAACCAAAGCAUUACUAACAUUUCUGUAGGUGAGAGUGAGAUGCAAGUAAUGCUGCCCACAUCCCGGAACUGCUACACCAACGGUUCCUACGACGAUUCUUUGUACAGAAACAGUGAGCUCAUCCUCCCUUCUGGUUACACUAUCUCUGAUAAGAACAAGGUUUAUAUCAUUGGAUGUAACAAAAUAGCACUAUACCAAGGUUUUGUUACCCAAGUCGAGCCAGAGCGAACAGAAAUCGAGAAGCUGGGGACAACCGGGGUGAGCUUGUGCCAAGAUCUACUCGGAGCGUUGUCCAACAAUUGCAGUGGCGUCGGGUGUACCCAAAGGACCAUCAUAAGUGGACUUCACAGUAUUAACUUGGAUGUGUGGACAAUCGGUACUGGCCUUGGAAGCACAUCACAGUGGACACUAGACUACCCGUGCAGCUACGGUUUCAUUGUGGAUGAUCGCAAUUUCACCUUCGCCGGGAAUGCAACUUUUAAAGAGAUGGACAGCAGCACAAACGCGCCGGAGCUUCCGGUGACUGUUAACUGGGAAAUUGGAAAGGACAACUGUGAAGUUGCCCUCAAUAAUCAAACUUCUUAUGCAUGCAAGGCCGCAAAUACUGAAUGUGUCAACGGCACUUCAGGUGGAUAUUUCUGCCGGUGCCAGAAAGGUUACCAAGGGAACCCUUACGUCCUUGAUGGUUGCGAAGGUAAAACUCUUUUACAUUAAGCUCGUAAAUGUUUACCUGAUCCUUUUCUAACUAAUAUAUAUGUUUGGCUUUCGGUUUUGUUUUCAGAUGUUAAUGAGUGUACUAAUUCGACCAUCUGCCAUCCUACUUCAACAUGCGAAAAUUUAGUAGGAAGUUAUACUUGUAAAUGUCCCAAGGGCCAAACAAAUGACGACAAUAACAACAGUCCUUGUGUCAAAAUCAUCGGAAAACCAAAGAAUACUUCCCUCCAAAUUUCACUGGGUAUGGAUUUGCUAUCACUGAGCAUGAUUUACUUCUUAUUAUCGUUUGUACGUCAUAUUGAGUUGUACCAUGAUUAUGUGCAGGUGUCUGUUUGAGCUUUCUAGUCGUAUUGAUUAUAACAUUUUGGAUAUACUGCGGAAUGAAAAGAAGAAAGUUCAAGCAACUCAAAGAGAAGUACUUCAAAGACAAUGGUGGCUUCUUGUUACAACAAAAAUUGGAGAAUUUUGACGGACCUCAAGCAGCCAAAAUCUUUACAAGAGAAGAGCUUAAGAAGGCCACAAACAACUUCGAUGACAGCGGAAAAAUUGGCGAAGGAGGCUACGGAUUUGUUUACAAAGGAACAUUGACGGAUAGAAAGGAGGUUGCCAUAAAGGUGUCGAAGAGUAAUGCCCCAAUGACCCAAAGUAAUCAGUUCAUCAAUGAGGUGAUUGUUCUUUCACAAAUCAACCAUAGAAAUGUGGUGAGGCUCCUAGGUUGUUGCUUAGAGACUCAAACUCCUUUGUUAGUUUACGAGUUUGUUAGCAAUGGCACACUUUAUGUAGCACAUUCAUAAGAAGAAUGGCAAGGGUCCNNNNNNNNNNNNNNNNNNNNNNNNNNNNNNNNNNNNNNNNNNNNNNNNNNNNNNNNNNNNNNNNNNNNNNNNNNNNNNNNNNNNNNNNNNNNNNNNNNNNNNNNNNNNNNNNNNNNNNNNNNNNNNNNNNNNNNNNNNNNNNNNNNNNNNNNNNNNNNNNNNNNNNNNNNNNNNNNNNNNNNNNNNNNNNNNNNNNNNNNNNNNNNNNNNNNNNNNNNNNNNNNNNNNNNNNNNNNNNNNNNNNNNNNNNNNNNNNNNNNNNNNNNNNNNNNNNNNNNNNNNNNNNNNNNNNNNNNNNNNNNNNNNNNNNNNNNNNNNNNNNNNNNNNNNNNNNNNNNNNNNNNNNNNNNNNNNNNNNNNNNNNNNNNNNNNNNNNNNNNNNNNNNNNNNNNNNNNNNNNNNNNNNNNNNNNNNNNNNNNNNNNNNNNNNNNNNNNNNNNNNNNNNNNNNNNNNNNNNNNNNNNNNNNNNNNNNNNNNNNNNNNNNNNNNNNNNNNNNNNNNNNNNNNNNNNNNNNNNNNNNNNNNNNNNNNNNNNNNNNNNNNNNNNNNNNNNNNNNNNNNNNNNNNNNNNNNNNNNNNNNNNNNNNNNNNNNNNNNNNNNNNNNNNNNNNGUGGGAGAUAGUUCAUCAAUUAGCUAGCUUAUCUUCCAUAGCUAGCUAGUUAUAUGUGGAGUUGUUCUUAACUUUUUUUGCUACUUUCGAGUAUGUUGCGUGUUAAAUAAAAGACGUCUGAUCAUACUGCUGCAGUUAGUGCAGUGCUGCAUAUGCAUGUAAUGACGGUAAUAUCGAUCUGUUGUAUAUUUUCCAUUUUGGCCAAAAUGUGAGUGGUAAAAUAUUUGUAGUUCGCUUCAUGAAAAUUGUUCGCCUCUUCUCUCUGAAAAAUUAUAUCACUUAAUCUGUUAUUUAAUUAAAAGAAGAAAAACAUUAGAUAGGACUAAUAUUACAACAAACUAUAUAUCCUCAAACAUAAAAUGAGAUGUAAUACUACCAGGACAAGCACUUUAACCGACGAAAAAAUUUCGUCGGCCUGUUAGCUUAAUUCGUCGGCUAAGAUCUUACCCGACGAUCCUUCGUCGGCUAUAGUUUCGUCGGGAAAAGGUCGUCGACGAUGACUUUAGCCGACGAAAAAAGAAGACGUCGUUGGCUAUAGUCCCACAGUUUAGCCGACGAAAAACAUGUCGUCGGUUUUUUUCCCAGACUUUAGCCGACGAAACAAUUAAGAUAUUAGUCGGCUAAAGUGUGUAAUAAAAAAUUAAAAAAUAACUAUAGCCGAAGAAAUAUAGUCUGUUUUGUCGGCUAAACCUUAAAAAAAAAUUAAAAAAUAAUUAUAGCCUACGAAACAUGCCAUAAUUCGUCGGCUAAACCGUAAUAAAAAAAUUAAAAAUAUUAUAGCCGACGAAUAUAGUAUUUAAAUAUCGUCGGCUAAAGUUGCUGGUUUUUGAAAAAAAAACUGCAGAAACUUUCGGCCACCUCCAAUCACCACCAAAAUUUGACAGAAUUUUCCUCUCAACAUUUCGAACAACUUUCUAGAAGAAGUCGAAGCCCAAUUCUAAGCCUAAAUAGGUCAAUUGAAUCAAAAUAUAAAAAUCCCCAAUUUUAAACCCUAAAAACUUCAAAUCUUCGAUUCUCCUCACACACACCGAAUCGAGCUACCAAAUUCUAGGAGAAUGUAGUACUAAUCAAACUCAACUUAUCCAUAUAUAGAACUCACCAAAUGGUGACCUGAGGAAGGAGAAAUUCGAUCAACACCGAAUCCGAACCGGCGGAGUUUUGGAGCUCGAUUUAUCCCUCACGGCGGCGCCACUCGAUGCACCACCUGUCCAGCAAUGAAGUAGAGACGACGGUGAAGUUUUUGGGACAAGUGUGGUGGUCUCCGGUGGCUUGACGGCAGAGCUAGGCCAAGAAGAAAAUCCGGCAUUUUUUUGAUUUUCUGACUUCUUACCAUCCACCUCCGGUAAAACUCCUAUAUAAAGAACUUUACCCAACGAAAUUCUUUAUUUCGUCGGCUAAACUCUUUUGAAAAUUUUAGUUGACCGCUAAAAAAUUUUGGUUGAAAAUUUUGAAAAUUUUUCGACUUUAGCCGACGACUUUUCAUAUAUUUUCGUCUGCUAAAGUCCUUUGAAAAUUUUCCUCCAAAUUUGGUUUACCGUCAAAAAAAUUUGACCUGCCGGCGACUUUUUAAUAUCUCGUCGGCUAAAGUCUAUAAAUUCACGAAAACGCUCAUAUCUCCCUCUAUAUUAUAUAGUUUGGUCAAAUCUGCCACACGAAAAACUUUCACGUAGAUGAGACGCAACCGCCUAUAUAAAAAUUUUGAGACAUUUACCUUCCGAAGAUAGGGCUCCCCAUAGGGAAUAAUAACUGUAAAUAGGGUUGACAGCUACUAUUGGCACCGUGACGUUACCUGAUUUACUUGAUUUUUGAACCAUAGCUGUAUUUCACCAUUCUGAACACAUCUUAUUUCACAAGAUUUUUGAUAAUUUUGCUUCCUAUGUAGAGUUGGUUCACAAAGUUGUAUAAUCUACUAAACAAGUUAUACAACAUUAGUAGACACGUUCUGAUUCCGAUGACUUAAAUUCACAAACCAAAAUUUGACCGUCAGAUAUGAUCAUUAUGAUGAAAGAUGUCUAUGGUAAAAAAUUCAACUGGAUCCGACAACGUUAAGGGCUCGAUCGAAAUGGUCAACCAUAAUCCAUCGUUACUUAUCACACGAAAACGCUCAUAUCUCCCUCUAUAUUACGUAGUUUGGUCAAACCUUCCACACAAAAAACUCUCACAUAGAUGAGUCGCAACUGCCCAUAUAAAAAUUUUGAGAUAUUUACCUUCCGACGAUAGGGCUCCCCAUAGGGAAUAAUAACGGUAAAUAGUAGACACGUUGUGAUUCCGAUGACUAAAAUUUACAAACCAAAAUUCGACCGUCAGAUAUGAUCAUUAUGAUGAAAGAUUUCUGUGGUAAAAAAUUCAACUGGAUUCGACAACGUUAAGGGCUCGAUCGAAACGGUCAACUUUAAUCGAAAAUAAGAAAACUGCAUUUUGAAGCCCUAAACGGACUCGGAUGGCCAAAAAGGCCCAUAUGUCAUGGCAAAGAAAUGAGUUUGACUCGUAGGGCCGUUACGCUUCCGAAAAUGUAUCACAAUAGUCAAUCGGACACCGAACACCAAAUCUGCAGCAUAGUGAACAAUAAGAGUAAAUUUCAUUGACCGCAACUAUCAGCACUGAGACUUUACUGGAAUACCGUGAUUUUUCAACCGUAGACGUAUUUCACCAUUCUGGUCAUAUCUUAUUUCACGACUUUUUUGCGUUUGAAGGUUCUACAUAUAGUUUUUUUUUCCCAGAUGAGCUGUUGUCCAAAUCUGUAAAUAUAAGGCACUUUAGCCGACGAAAUUAUAUUUUUCGCCGGCUAAACUUUUAAAAAUUUCGUCGUCUAAAGUUGACCAAAGCCGACGAAAAUUUAAAUUAGCCACGAAGGAAAAUUUUUGUUGGCUAAAGUCCACGUUAGCCGACGAAAAAAAUAAUUUGUCGGCUUGGUUUUUUUAUAUUCGUCGGCUAAAGCCUUUCUUCUGGUAGUGUAAGGUUCCAACAACCGUUUUUCUUCAAUAGGUGCAUAAACAAAUCUACACCAAAAAAUCACUAGCAAAUAUGAACAUGAACAUAAGGGUUGACUACUUGAUUUAAACAAUACAGAUAGAGUACUGUUAACUUUGAUUACGUACUAAGUAGUUAAAUUAAUAUUCAUUUUUUUGUUGAAGGGGUCAUGAGGUAUACAUAUACAUCUGUGUGUGUAUUCGUUGUCAUCGAAUAUGUAUGCACAUAUCUCAUCAUGCAUGUUGAGUAUAUACAACUAUACAUCAUUAAUCUUGAGUUGUGACAUCAAUAUUGUUAUUCGUCAUCACCAGAAAUAUAAAACCAGCAUGAUUAACACAAAACUAGUAAACUGACCUUGGUCAAAGACUAUGCAACUCGGUUUGUAAUUCGAGUUGUAAAUUUUCUUUUGGCUAAACAUUCAAGUUGUAAUUUCUUUAAUCAGUCAUGUGAAAUAUAUAAUUCGUAACUUGUUUACACAUAUACAUGUAUAUGAUUUUCUUUGGUAGGUUGUAGAUCUUCUUUUUCUCAAGUCAAUUAAUAGCAUGAAAAAUAAGAAAAGAAUUAAUGUUGCUUGGCACGCCAACUAAUCUACUGUGGAAAUUAAACAAGUGGUUAUGUAUAACCAUCAGCUGCUUGACUUCACACAACAAACAAAUUACAAAAGACUUUGUCGCUCUCACUCAAUUUUCAGGAUUAUCAAGUGGAAUAAUGCCAAUAAUUAUCAGGGAACAAAUCGAUCUUUCUCAUUUGCCACACUAAUUUGACACGGCAUUGACUAGCUAGCAAAUGGUCCAUUACUGUAUCAAAGCUACUAGCUAGUCUUCAACUCUCUUUAUUAUGACAUGAAAACAAAGUAUUGUGCAUACGGGUGCAUAUAUACGAAGUUAACACUUUCGCCAAGUCUUCGUGUCCAACAGUCCAUGACCAGUAAACACGUAAAAGAAUGGUAUGCUCGAUAUGAUAUUUUCCAUGUGGGUAAUCCUGAUAACUAUUUUGCAUCAAAUUAGUUAUCAAUUAUUUGUAAUUUAUAAUGUGAUUCAACUUGAAUAUGACCAUGCAUGAUGAUUAACGAGUGGACUGAUCGAGUUAAUGCCGAUGAGAUUCUACAAUAGAAAUGUAUUCUGAUUUAGUAAUUACUAGUCUUUCACAAGUACUAACAAAAAAUUUAUUUUGACUAAAUAAAACUGGCUUAACAGUUCUAAAUAAAAAUGGCUUAAUGUUCUGAAUAAAACAUUUGAUUAUAAAACAGUUCUAAAUAAAACUGGCUUAACGUAUUCUUCAAGAUUCUUCCUAAAUAAAACUGACAUUUUAUUUUACAAAGUCUACAUAUUUAACAGCAAUUACCUUGUUAGAACAUGCACUUAUUGCAGUCAGACUCGCUGGCUUGACGUAUGGAAUGGGAUUGUGUGAACUGUGAACUAAUAUUGUAGACUUAUACAACCUUUUUUUUUUUUGAGGUAUAGACUUAUACAACCCUCUUUUUUUUUUUUUGAGUUGAAUUUGUAGAAUUAAGCAUUCAACAUUACCAACUUGGAUAAUGAUUGAUGUUGAAAUAUCGCAUAGCUGUGCAAGGAAAGUAGCAAACAUGAGACAAAGGUAAAUUGUAAGACAUCCUUUUAUAACAGGAUAAAUUCCAUAUAUUGAUGAAAAUUAUAAGAACAAGUUAGAGACGUCGGAAGACAUCUCAUAUCAUUUGUUGCCCAAAGACACGACUACAUCAAUCCCUAAGAAAAUAAAACAAUCCAAAAUAUUUGUCUAAGAAAGGAGACAAUACAACAAUUAAAACUCGACUUGAAAAUAAACGUACAAGACGGUAAUUAAAGGCACCUAACAUAUAUACCAGUUUUAUGUCUAAAUUGAGAUGCAACGGUGUACCUUGUCCACCAAUAUAUGUAAAGAUAUGGCCUUCAAUUAGAUUAUGCAGGGGAUGAGCAUUGUUAUUGUUCAACUUAGUAUUAAAAAACAAUGAGAACAACACAAUGAGUGUGACUUAUACAAACUCAAGUGAUUAUGAGAUUAGCACUCUCAAAGCUUAUGAUUCAUAUCAUAUUCUCAUGAGAGAAGACCUUAUUGUCUCAUCAUGAAAUCAUAUAGAUCAUCCGAUUGCAAUCUUAAUUAGAUUAGAUGUCAUUUUGGUCCGGACUGGCCAUAUCACAGCUAACCGCGAUGUGUCUACUAGUCUAUACAUGCAAACUAGUCAAACAAUUACCAAAUGCAUGAGAGUUGUCAGUUGUGAGAUAUUGAUUUUCCCUUUGUAAUUAGAUUAAGGUUUUCUUUUUAUAAAAUGGAGGAGAAUCUUGAUCGAGCAAAUUAACCCCAAGUAAUAAGGAUGAGUGGACGACAUCACUUCAAUGUCGACUACUAAAGUCCAAGUCGCGCGGAUGCGUCCAACCAUGCAAGACUUUUUUUUUCUGCUUUUUUUGUUUUUGCGUGGAAGCUGGAGAUGAUUAAAAGGCGGGACCAGUUCAUCUUCAAUUCUUCAUAUACUGCAAUUGAAACGUCAACCCGAGAACAGAAGACUCAUGUGUCUUUCCAUGGUUUGUGUUUUAUUAAAAUCCAGCAAAUGACGACGACCCAGUCUGGAAUAGAAAGCUAGCUCGAGCAGAGAGUGAAGUUGUCCGGAAACUUCCCCCCGCCUACGACUACAAAAGGCCGAAUCCGGAAUAUACGUACCGCUUUACUUAUCAUCAACAUUCAACAAUAUAUACAACUAUUUGAUACCAAAAAUCCUCUCAGUUGCAAAUAUCACAAACAAGCUAGUCCGGCAGGACUGCAUGCAUGUUGAUCAUGGCCUUGCAAUUCCGGUUGGCGGCAGUCCUACUCCUAUUAUCGGCUGCUAGUACUACGAAAACAGCUGCUGCUGCUCAAGCCCUUCCUGGCUGCUCUGACAAGUGCGGUGAUCUCACAGUUCCAUAUCCAUUUGGCAUGAAGGAGGGUUGUUACCUGGGAGAUGAAUUCUUUAUCAAUUGCAACCGCACGACUCAACCACCAACUGCAUAUUUGAGGAAAGGGAAUAUCGUUGUUAGUUGUUACUAACAUUUCCCUAGAGGUUGGGGAGAUGCAAAUAUCGAAGCGAAUAGGGCGAGAUUGUUACGAUGAAGAGGGCAACGAAACUAGCACAGCAGGAACGUUCAGUUUGGGACCUCCAAACACCAUAUCUGAUACCCAAAACAAGUUCUACGCCGUUGGUUGCGACACUUAUGCAACCAUGGAAGGCUUCCGAGGGGAAGAAAAAGUCAUUACUGGGUGCAUUUCAGUAUGCAACAGCCUCAGCAGUGUUAAUAAGAACUCUUGCUCUGGCAUUGGGUGUUGCCAGAUUAACAUCCCCAGUGGACUGACCAAUCUCACUUUCGAGUUGAGAAGCUUCUACAAUCAUAAGAAUGUAUCGGAGUUUAACCCCUGCAGCUACGCCUUCAUUGCAGAGCAAGGCCGGUUCAAUUUCAGCUCUUCUAGUUUUGAACAACUGAAUGGCAUUGAACGGCUUCCAAUGGUUCUUAAUUGGGCCAUUGUGAAUGACGCAGAUCCCUGCGAUGAGACUCAGAACAGGAAGGGUUCCGCAUGCAAGGCUAAUAGCAAGUGCUUCAACCCAGCUAUCAAUGAGUCUGUAGGUUACUUGUGCCAGUGCUUGCCUGGUUAUGAAGGAAACCCGUACCACCCAGAUGGUUGCACAGGUGACGAUUAUCUUUGAUUUACCUAUUCAGCUACUAUUAUAUCAAUAUAAAUUAAUUAAAGCUCUCGCCAUUGGAAGUGCAAGUUUACCAAAUUUAGUGAUGUCUGAUAGGCUUUUCCUUUCCUAAUUUCCCUUUCAGAUAUUGAUGAGUGCAAAGACCCAAACCUCUGCCAGAAAGGACAAUGCUUGAAUCUUCUACCUCCACAAAAUUACACUUGUUCAUCAUGUCACAAAGGAUACAAACACGACGGCACCAAUGACAAGAGUUGCAUCAAAGACGAUCUCGAAAGAAGCUCAAAGAUCGUUCUCCUGCUUAUUGUUUCAUUGGGUAUGUAUAUUUACAUAUUAUCAUGCAUGUGCACCCUAAACUUCUGUUGAAAAGUAAUGACGGACUGAAAUCUAUUUAGCUUCAGGCCUUCAGCUACGUACUUUAUCUCCAAAUUAUAAUAACCUCGUUUUCUCAUACUUUUUCUUCAAAAAAAAGUAACACAGAGAGAAUGCACAAGUCAUUUCCAUAUUUAAGGGAAGUUUUUUUUCUAUUGUUUGUUAAACGAGAGGGAACAGGUGCGCAAAUUGAAGAUUUUUUUUCUUUUUAUUCAUUUUUGUAGAGAAGGUCUUGCAUCUAGAAUCAAAAUCAAGGAAACUGCUACAAUGAGUUAAGGGGAAGAUCCUAGGGAAUCAGAACUAGAAUAAAAGGACAACAUAAUAGCACAGAAAAAAAAACCACCACCCUGUACCUCUGAAUAAGAUCAUAGAGAAUAUGCAAAAGCAAACUUAUAAGAAUAAAUUUGAUGAUGAAUUUUCAACUAUUUGUAGGUGUAAGUAUGGGCUUGUUGGUUUUUUUCCUUGGGAUUUCGUGGAUAUGUUGGGGAAUGAAGAAAAGAGAGUUCAUUAAGCAGAAGGAAAAGUACUUCAAAGAGAAUGGUGGCUUAUUGUUACUGCAACAACUCGCCAGUGAUAAUGGAAGCUCGAUGAAGACAACAAAAAUCUUUACCGCUGAUGAACUUGAGAGGGCAACAAACAACUACCAUGAGAGUAGAAUCCUUGGAGAAGGAGGUAAUGGAACAGUUUACAAAGGAAUACUACCGGAUGACACAGUGGUUGCCAUAAAGAAGUCGAAAGGUACUAGUGCCAUGACCCAGAGUGAUCAAUUUGUUAACGAAGUGAUUAUCCUUUCUCAAAUUAACCACAUAAAUGUGGUGAAGCUAUUAGGUUGCUGUUUCGAAACAGAAGUUCCUUUACUAGUAUACGAAUUCAUUACCCAUGGCACUCUUUAUGAGCACAUUCAUAAAAGAAGAUCACCUCUCCCUUUUGAAUUACGAAUGAAGAUAGCAACUCAAAGCGCAGAAGCAUUGUCUCACUUACACUCGUCAAUUUCCACACCAAUCAUACAUCGAGAUGUGAAAACGGCAAAUAUUCUGUUAGCUAAUGAUUACACGGCGAAAGUGUCAGAUUUCGGAGCUUCCCGUUUGGUUCAUUCAGGAACUGAUAUGCAAACUUUGGUGCUCGGGACAUUUGGAUACCUAGACCCUGAAUAUCUGCAAUCAAACCAGCUAACAGAAAAGAGUGACGUUUACAGCUUUGGAGUUGUCCUAGUGGAACUAAUAACAAGCAAAGUUCCACUUUCUAAAGAUAGAUGCUUAGCAAGCAUCUUUGUGGUUUCCAUGGAAGAAGAUUGGUUGGAUCAAAUUCUUGACGAUGAUAUAGUGAACGAUGGAAACAUUGAGACGGUAAAGAAAGUGGCCCAUCUCGCAAAGCGAUGCUUGAUGGUAAAAGGGGAGGAAAGGCCUACCAUGAAAGAAGUUGCGAAAGAGCUCGAGGAAAUAAUGAGUGUCACAGCAAAACAUCCGUGGGGAUUUAAUGCUAGUUUCUACCGAGAAGAGACUGAGUACUUGCUCGGGUCACUCAAUUCAGACGGUUACGUCGUUGGUGUUGGGGAUGAUUGCAGUUCUAGUGGUCUAACCAGUGGUACGGCCAAUGCAUAUGACAGCAUGCAAAAACAACUGCAGUUGAUGCCAUAUGGCGGUGGACGUUAGUUGGAUCGGUGUCGCUUGUAUGUAUUUUAGUAUGGUUGUUUCUGUCAGAUAAGUGCGUUUUCACAUUUUGCAAUUGUUGUAUGUAAGUAAUCAAGUGUGGUCUUACAGUCUUACUGGUGUUCUUUUGCUGCUAUUGUGCACACUUAGCAAGCAACUGGAUUUGCCUUAUCUAUGAGGUUAAGGCCUUUGCCUUUCACACGUCUACUAGUUGAGGAGACAUGUAUAUUACAUAAUAUGCAAACUAGGUAGAUAUGUAUUACACUAGUUGAAUUUGCAUGCCGUCACUAGUUUUCGCUUGGAACAUUUCCACCAGUCAUGUCAUAUUCAUAUAUACAAACCACUAAGGAUAGUGGGGUGGAAAACUCUGUCUUGGCUAACCUCCAGGUCUGGAGUUCGAAUCCCCAUGAAAGCAAAGUGGCUAGGCACUAUGCUGCAAUGCAUAGUUGGAGCAUUUCACAUGCGCCGGCGGAUUAGUCCUUAGGCCUACGAAGUCUUUGGGAUACCGUGACUUGAUCAAAAAAAAAAAAAUAUUCAUAUAUACUGCAAAUUUGAAAAUUUCCACCAGACAAAUCGUAUUGCAAAAAGAAAUUGUUUAAUUCCAUUUAGAUUACUUGGCACCUUGACGACUUCAUCUUCAAAAACUUCUAGUCUCCUACCUCAACUUGUCACCGUGGUCAUCAACUGUAACGGAAAACGAACUGUCACAUUGACAUAGCAUAGAAUAUUUAGUUAGUUGCAUAAAAUUAUCAAUGAAAAUGGAAGUUGUGCCCCGUCAGUUAAUUUAGAGUGAUGUGGUGAAAAGAAUUCAAAAGCCAACUCUAGACCAAAAAUAAACUUUUACCACCUGAUCAGUAAACAAAUCACGUAUAGGCAGAAGGGUCCUGGCUUGGCAAAGGAGGCACAUCAAGCUUUCGUUUUCUUGAAACCGAUUGAUCUCAUAACUUGUGCUUGACUUUGAUAUAACAUCUCUUCUAUAUUAACUGCUUGCAUCUAAACUAAAAGAUACCAACUUUUUGGGCUUACCAAGUGGCUUCGGGAAAUAAGAGAGACGACCAAGACAUUUUGAUUCGCUCACAACCUCUUCCAUUUGUCUACAAAAGCGAGCUUGCAAGCACAACUUCACUCAUAAGAAAUACAGUUUAUACAUUUAUACCUCUCAAUUUAAGUACCUGAAUCAAUUGGUGAAAGUAGAUUACCAAGUAUGCAAUUCAUACUGCUGGUGCUACUGGUUCUCCUCGCAUUUGCGGCCGCGGGCAAAGAAGCAGAAACAGCUGAAGCCCGCCCGCCUCAAGCCCUUCCUGGCUGCACUGACCACUGCGGCAAUCUCACCAUUCCAUAUCCCUUUGGCAUAGAGCCUGAUUGUUACAAGACAGAAGACUUUUAUGUCUAUUGUAACACAACCACUACACCCCCAACAGCAAUGUGGAACGAUGGUCCCAUUGCUAUUAACAACAUAUACCUGCCUGCGGGUGAGAUGCAAAUAACGCAGUACGUAGCCUAUGAGUGCUAUAACAGCCUGGGCGAGAAUGAUUACAACCAACCAUUGCUUGCCGUGCCUCCUUUCACCGUCUCUCAUACUAGAAACAAGUUCAUUGCCGUUGGUUGCGACACUUCUGCAGCUUUCAGAGGUUACCGUGCAGACGAACAGAGGUUAAUGACCGGAUGCAUGUCCAUAUGUGACAACCUUGACCGCAUUGAACAGUCUUGCUCCGGGGUUGGGUGUUGCCAAACUGACAUCCCCAGCGGACUUGAGAAUUACACUCUCACACUGGAAAGCUAUUAUAAUCACACAUACAUACUGGACUUCAAUCCAUGCAGCUAUGCCUUCAUUGUGGAAGAAGGCAAGUUCACCUAUUCCCCCGAAUACAAGUUUCCAAACACUACCCAACACCAAAGAGCUUCCCCUGAUUCUUGAUUGGGAAAUUGGGGAAGGCGCAUGUGAUGAAGCUGAACACAGAGAUGAUUAUGCAUGCAAGGCAAAUAGCAAGUGUGUCAAUCGGACCAUCAGUGAUGGGCUAUUCUAUAUAAUAAAACGAUAAGGAAAAAACCACUGUUCAUAUCUAUUCAGAAUUGUGCUAUUCCCCUGAAGUUUCGUGAAUUAUGUUUUGGCCCUAGAUUUGUUACUGAUUGCAAAACUGUCCUCACUGUGUUGCGUGUUAUUGUUGCUGCGUGGCCUCCUAUUUUCAUUCCACGAAGCUCUCUCGCUCUCUCCGAUCUCUCUGUCUCACGCAUGACGGCGGAAACGAAGAAAAAGGCCGACCGAUCCCGAUCAAAUCCGAGCCAGGGUGAAAGAACAUCGAUCUGGGUAAUUGGGUUUCAGUUUCGUUUUUUUUUUUUUUUUCUAAGAUUCUUCCAAUUGAUUUUUGUAUUAUUUCGAUCAAACCCGAGCCAAGGUGAAAAAAAAGGAUCUGGCCAUAUGUGUUUGGUUUUUGUAUGAUUGUUGUUUUGAAUCAAUAGGUAUUUCUUUUAUCUCAGAUUCUUCAAUGCAUGGAUGCUGUUGAUAUUUCCUGUGAUGCCUUCCUUGAGCCUUUCUUCCUCAAAAACAUUUGCACCGCCGACUGCUACGAGAAGUGCUCUAGAUAAAGGAUUUCGGGACGAUUUCGGGUUGAGGUAUUUGAGCUUCUUCCUUCUGCUUCGUUCGGUUUCCAUUUGUGUUUUUCAUUGUUGAUUUCAUAUUCCGCUUGCAGUUCAUGCUUCAUAGAAUUUACUAUGCUUCAUAGAAUGUAACAUCAAAUAUUUGGUGUGGUAUGUACCAAAAUAUGUAUGAAAAAAUGUAACAUCAAAUAUAUAUGCUCUAGCUGUAUGAUGUAUGAUAGAAUGUAACAUCAAAUAUUUUGUGUAGUAUAUACCACAGCUUCUAUGUUCUGUAAUGUGUAUUCUCUCUGUUUUUCAUUCUUAUCAUAUAGACAAUAUUAUCUGUUCGCUAAUCUAACCAACACGUAUCAGCAGCUCACGCCCACAUGUGACAACAUCAACUUCACAUAGCUGUAUAACCACAUGUCGACAUUAGCUCACAACAGCUUCUUUCAAUUAUCACCUAAGAACAUGACAAUACUUUGCCGUGUGAUCUUCCAUUUAUUUACCAUCACCUUCACCCACGUCUAUAUAAACCUGGAGACAAAUGAACCUGCAUAAUGAAGUGCUCUCCAUUUCUCUUCAUAUUUCUCCGAACAUUUUACACUACUAUAAAGAAAAAUAAUCUUUGUAACAUAUGCCUGGAGAUCAAUCAUUUGAACGAUUUUUUUUUCGCUGAUCUGUACUUAACGCAUCCUUGAAAAACUAAUUCUUCAAGUGGUUGUAUUUCCGGGCGACUGUUACCGUGGUAAUGUCUGCAGCCAUACAACCCAUGUAUGUCGAUCCAUGCAACACAAAUUCUACAGGACAAAUCAGGAAAAGCCUUCCUGAACAACCAUAUAAACAUUUCCUUUUUCUUUCUUUUUUCCUUUUUUUUUUGUACGACAAAUCGACAAUAUGAUCUGCAAACCUAGACAUGAAUUAGUUUGAUAGCAGUAAUUUCAACUCAAAUUCAGUUUUUAAUUAAUGGAAUGUUUAAUAUUCUGUUUGCAUUUACAUAUCAGACAACUGUAUUGGGAUGGAUUAAGCUUAGGAUUGAAGAGUUGGUUUAUAACUUCGCAAUAGCUUUAUUUGUUAAUGUCCUGAUAUUGAUGCACAAACAUAUAAUUGGUCGAAGUUUCAACAUCUGUUGCUAUACAUGGUUAAUGUAAUUGUCAGAUUUGUACAUAGGCUUCUCUUUUUACCUUUUUUUAUACUCUGUUGUGGUUUCUAAUGGGAAGUUUGAGACCGCUUUUCUAAUUUUGGUUUGUCUUGCAUGUUGGUUAUGCAUGAGAUUGAUUGUGGCUAUUUUGUGAAGGUUUUGUGAUAGAUUCCAGAUUUUGGCUUUGAAAUUGUAUGCGUAGCUCCAAUUCUUAGACUAUAUUUCAUACUACUAUAUUAGAAAUAUUUGAAAGAGAAGAAUCAAAUUAGUGUUUGAGGAAUCAAUAAUAAGGAGCCAAAGGGUGCCGACCAAAAACUGGGUUAGAUAUUUACUUAUCUAUAUUUUACUUGCAUGUUAAUGAUUUGGUUUAUAUUGAAUGCUGCCAAUGUAUUAGUAUUUUGGUAUUGCGUAGUUAUUAAUUGUAUAGGAUUGCAGUUUACUACAAUGAAAACAAGGUGUGCCUGUCUAUUUGGUUAUUGUGUCUGUUUUAAGAUUUUAAUGUUUAUAGCAUUUUGAAAUAUAUUAUGUAUUUCAAUUUUAAUUUUUGAAAUUAGCUACGUUUUUUGGGUUAUUUCUUUUAAAUUUUGUUGAGCAUAUGAUUUUUGUUACAAUGGUGAUAGUUGCAGUCCUUUGAUUAUAAUUUAAGUUGAGUUGCUGCUAUCCUACCGUUACGGAAUCAGGGCCGUUGAGCUUUGUUACAAAUUAAUGAAAACAUCAGUAUCAAUUGUUUGAUUGGGGUUGAUAAUUUUUGUUCUGUUUUCAGUGUUGGUUCUUUCACUAUCUGCAAUCAAUCUCAUUCUCUCAAGUGCUUAUCGGUUCCUUUGGUUGGAUUAGCUGUUUAAGUUUUUUGGUUUGGUUUGCAUUUUGGUAAUCUUUUAGGUUUAAUCAAAUUGGGUGUCUGACUGUUUUGCAGACGUUUCUUUCUGUUUUUCCGGUGGUGAUCCCCAGUGUCAGGACAGGUAUUUACUUUAUCUUUUUUUUUACUUGCAAGUUAAUGGUUUGGUUUGUAUUGGAAAAGCUUUCAAUGUAUUAAUAUUUUUGGUUUUGGUGAGGUUUGUGGUGAGUACUUUUUAAUUUCGUAUUAUUUGAUGUGCCUAGCUGAAUGGUUAUGGGUGUGUCUGUUUUAGGAAUAUUGAUGUUUAGACAAGAUUUUAAUAUCUAUCACAUAUUUUAAUUUACACUUUGGAUGUCAUCUGGUCAUGCAUUUUGUUUUGGUGUUGUUUUAAUUACAUUUGGUAUCGCAAUUGACCAUACAAUGACAAAUUUUGCAUAAUGGUACAGGGAAAAAAGACAGAUAUUUUUUAUCUGUGUAUCAUACUUGAGUUUAAACAACAAACAAUGCAAAGGUAUAAUUGCAGUUGUCCACAUAAUAUAAAUUCUUCCAAAAUGGUGUAAAAAUGAGGAUGAAUGUUUGUUACGUAAUUUUAAAUAACAAACAAUGCAAAGGUUUACUGCAUCAAAAACUGAAGUUAAAUAGAUUGGCCAAUAAAGUAGAUGGAAUCUGACACCGGUCCAAUAUCUAAGACAUGUUUAUAAAUCGAUGUUACUGCAAGUGGAUUUUAGUUUGGAACUUUUUAUGUGUAUUACAAUAGUUUUUUUUUUGGGUUACCCAGCAGAACAAAGUAUUUGAUUGAGUGAGAGAUUGCGUAUGUUUGUUUUUAAAUUGACAGCUUCUAUAAUAUUCGCUUCUGGAUAUUCAGGGCCAAAAAAAAAUUAUAAUCAUGAUGAUAUUAAUAUAAUUUGGUACAUUGAAGUGUUAAAAAAAACCUGCUAUUGAUUUAGUGCAUUGGUUUGAUUUGGUGUGGGGAUACAAAUUCAUCUUGCAGCCUACUAGAUUUCAGGCAUUUGAGUUGUUUUGGUAGUUACAAUGGCAUCGCUUAAAAUAUAAUUUGGUAAAAGAAUGCAUGUUUUAACAUGGUGCUGUUAAUGUUAGUUCAGAUUGUUAUUCAGACAAGUGGUGAUGUGUGCUAUUAUUGGGCUCAUUGAUUUGAGAUUGUUUGAUGAUAUUGCCAUUUCAAUUCAGAUUGCGUUGAAUCUAGCUAUAAGUUCUUUGUUUAUUCUUUUUUUAAAUACUUUUUGGACAGUUGUUAAUCCAAUUUUUACUGUUCUGUAUUGUUGCCAUUGAUUUUUAUGAACUGUUAUUAUUUUAUUGAUGCAUUGUUAUUCAUGUGAAUAUUUGUUGGCACUACAGGUUAAGAGAAAACUUAAGGCUUUAUUACAAAAGUAAGGAUAAUUAUUUUGAUGGUUUGCUGUUAUGUCAUCAGACAUGUUUGUUGUACUUUACAUUUUGUGCGUUGCUUGAAUACUUAUUGUUCUAUUAUUUGGUGAUAUUGGAAAGUAAGAUGACUCGAAAGAAAAGAAUUCGGGAGGAAAAUUUGUCAGCUGCAUCGUCUGAACAACUUGGGUGCAGUGGUCCCUCCAUGAAUGCUUCUGUUAACAGUAGACCGGGUGGUGCCAAUGCAUCAAAUGAUUGUGCUGAGUCUUCGUCUACAAGAGGAAUCGAUGCUCUGAGUGUUGGACAAUCUAAUAUUGGGCAGGCGUUUUAUUAGAGAAGAAGAAAAACAAAAGGUUUGUGUUUGGGGUGCUUUGUUUAUUUAUGUGGUUAUCUGAAUUGAAUUUGUAUGACUUCUGUUUAAGAUGGUGUGCUGUUUUGUUUCUAGGUAUAUCGUCUGCAUAUGUAGAUGUCGGAGAUAUGACAAACGUUUGUGUUGAUUGUCAUGCAUUGUUUUGGUUGCAAGAGUCAAAAUUUAUUCCAAGGAAUGGAAGUCCGGUCUAUACAGGCUGCUGCCAGGAAGGUCGGAUUAGGCUCCCGCCUGUUAGACCUGCUCCAGUUUUUUUAGAAUACUUGCUUGAUUCCACUAAUGGUCAAAAGAGUGUGCAGUUUAGAAACAAUAUUCGGAGUUAUAAUACCAUGUUUGCAUUUACUUCAAUGGGAGCUAAUGUAGAUAAGACGGUGACUGAUGGUCAUGGUCCUUAUGUUUUUAAAAUUAGUGGACAGGUAUACCAUCUUAUGGGUUCACUUAUUCCUCCAGAAGGUAAGUGCCCUAAGUUUGCACAAUUGUACAUUUAUGAUACUGAGAAUGAAGUUGCAAAUCGACAAAAAGCUGUUGACGGUUUAGACUCGGAAAUUGUUACUAGAUUGAUUGAUAUGCUUGAUGAAAGCAAUGAAUUGGUUCAGUAUUUUCGUUCUGUUCGAAAUAAGUAUAAUGAAAGAUCUCUGCGUUGUUUAAACUUGACACUUCUUGACAAUGAAAGAAUAAAAGAUAGGGAAUACGAUGUGCCAAGUAGUAGUGAAGUUGCUGGCUUGAUUGUUGGUGACAUUGGGUUGUAUGAAGCUGAUAGGGAUGUAGUUGUCGAUACAUUUGAAAAUGGUUUGCAGCGGAUAUCAAGAUUACAUCCAAAAUUCAUGUCAUUUCAAUACCCAUUACUCUUCCCUUAUGGGGAGGAUGGAUAUCAUGUUGGUUUGAAAUUAUGCGCACGCAAAGAUAAUGAGAAUCGCAAGCGAGAAAGGAUGUCCAUGUGUGAUUUUAUGUCAUACCAAAUACAUGAGCGUGCAAAUGAAUCUUCCACUUUGCUGAAAGGAGGCCGACUUUUUCAACAGUUUUUGGUUGAUGCCUAUGCAAAUGUUGAAGAAAACCGUUUGUUUUAUAUUAGAAAAAAUCAACCCGAUAUUAGGAGCGAGACUUAUGUGGGCAUAUGUGAUGCUUCAAUAAGAGAACAUGAUGGUGAAAAUGUAGGCAAACGAAUUAUUUUACCAAGCACUCAUACAGGAAGUCCGCGGUAUAUGAACAAACAUUACCAUGAUGCUAUGGCUUUGUGUCGGAAGUAUGGCCCCCCUGAUUUGUUCAUAACACUUACUUGCAAUCCAAAAUGGCCUGAAAUUGAAAGAGCAUUGUUGAACAAACAUGGUAGCAAACCUGAGGAUCGCCCAGAUAUUGUUGCAAGAAUUUUUAAGAUGAAACAUGAUGAUCUUAUUAGUUACGUUAAAUCUGGCAAGCCAUUUGGGAAGGCUAUUGCAGGUAAGUACCUUUGUUUACAGCGUCCCCCCUUUCCCUUUUUCCGAUUUAAAACAUUAUGAUAUUUAAUUUUGAUGUUUUUAUUAAUCUCAUUGGUAUACAAUGUAAUAUGCAGAUGUUGCGACAAUUGAGUUCCAAAAACGGGGAUUACCUCACUCUCACAUGUUAUUUUGGUUGGCUGAGAAUAACAAGUGUUAUUCGGCUGUUGACAUUGAUUCAAUAAUCUUUGCUGAACUACCUGAUAAGAAGGUCAAUCCAACUUUAUAUGAUAUUGUGAAUCAAUUUAUGAUCCAUGGUCCAUGUGGUGUGCUGAAUCCUAAAGCUCCAUGUAUGAAAGAAAAUAACUGCAAGAAAUCAUUUCCGAAAGAAUACAUGGAAAACACAUUGUUUGCAGCUAAUGCAUUUCCCAUGUAUAUGCGUCGUGAUGAUGAUUCUAAAUUUGUCAUGAAAAAUAAUGUGACAGUAGACAACCGCUUUGUUGUUCCUUACAAUGCUGAACUUUUGUUAAGAUAUAAUGCGCAUAUAAAUGUUGAAUCAUGUUCUCAGUCAACCUUGAUAAAAUAUCUGUUCAAGUAUAUAAGCAAAGGUCCUGACCGAGCAAGAGUUGGUAUUCACUCUGAUUUAAAUGAUGAAAUUGCAGCGUAUUUAAACUGCAGAUAUAUAUCUCCACCUGAAGCUGCAUGGAGAUUGCUUGAAUAUCCAAUUCAUUCUCGGCACCCACCUGUUGAAUUGUUAAAGAUACAUUUACCAGGACAACAAACCAUUGUUUUUGGUCAAAAUCAACCGUUAACCUCAGUCAUUGCAAGACAAGGAUCAGACGAUACUAUGCUCACAUCAUGGUUUCAUGCAAAUACAAACGCGGAGACAAAGCAUAUAGCAAAUAUGUUGACAUUUGCAGAGUUUCCUUCUGCCUUUGAGUGGAAUAAUGGUACAAAAACUUGGACACCACGACAACGAGGCUAUGCAAUAGGUAGAUUGCCAAAUAUAAGUCCGACGAGCGGUGAGUUAUAUUAUUUGCGCCUACUUUUGAACACACGUAAAGGCUGCACAAAUUUUAAAUCUAUUCGGACAAUAUGUGGUGUUGUGUAUUCUACGUAUCAAGAAGCAUGCCGUGCACUCGGGUUACUAGGUGAUGAUAAAGAGUGGAGUGAUGCUAUAACUGAGGUUGUACCAACAGCAAUGUCAUAUCAAUUGCGCCAUCUAUUUGUUACAAUUUUGUUGUACUGUGAUGUUUCAAAUCCGUGUCAACUUUUUGAAACACAUUGGCGUAAUAUGUGUGAUGAUAUUAUAUACAAUGUCCGUUCUGAUUUUAUGAUGCCACACCUAAACAUAUCUGAACGAGAGUUACGAAAUUCUUUGUUGUUUGAGUUAGAGCUACUUUUUGGUAAUGCUAAUUCAUCGUUAGCGAAGUACCAUUUACCAUUGCCAGAUAAGGAAAAAAUGUUCGAGUUGAAAAACAGGCAAUUGAGAGAGGAAUUAAAUUAUGAUUGUGUCGCUUUACAAAAAGAGUACCGAUCUUUAGUAGCAGAAUUAAAUGAUAGCCAGAGAAGAAUAUUUGAGAAUGUGAUUAAUGUUGUUAAUAACAAAAGUACUGGCCUUUUUUUGUUUAUGGUCAUGGAGGCACAGGGAAAACAUUUUUAUGGCACACCAUUAUUAGUAAGCUAAGAUCGGAAGAGAAGAUUGUGUUAGCAGUCGCUUCCUCUGGAAUUGCGUCAUUGUUAUUACCAAACGGGAGAACUGCUCAUUCCAGAUUCAAGAUACCAAUUGACCUUACUGAUGGUAAGGUCUCUUCAAUAACAAAGGGAACACAUCUUGCUAAAUUGGUUGAAAAAACGGAUUUAAUUAUUUGGGAUGAAGCACCGAUGACUAAUAAGUGUUGUUUUGAAUCUUUAGACACUUCACUUAGGGACAUAUUAUCGUAUCGUUUUACACCGGGAACCGUCCCGCCAUUUGGUGGUAUGCCUAUUGUACUUGGUGGAGAUUUUAGGCAAAUAUUACCAGUUGUAAUUGAUGGGAAAAAGUCUACGGUAAUUGAUGCAUCAUUAAAUAGUUCUUUGUUGUGGCCAUUGUUUAAGAUCUUUUACUUGACAGAGAAUAUGAGACUGCGAAAAAAGGAAAUAAGUGAAGAGGAAAAACAACAAAUAUCAGAGUUUGCAGAAUGGUUGUUAAAUGUCGGUGAUGGAAAUAUAUGUGGCAUAGAUGAUGAUUGUGAUAGAGAUUCAAGCUGGAUAGAAAUACCGUCUAAUAUGUUAAUUGAUAACACAAGUGAUCCAAUUCGUUCUAUAUUUCAUGCUACAUACCCAGAUUUUCUCAAAAACUACAACUGUUUCGAUUAUAUUAGAGAACGUGCAAUUAUUACACCUAAAAAUGUUGAUGUGACUGGCAUAAACAAUUAUGCAAUAGAUUUACUGCCUGGUCAUACAGUAACCUAUUUAAGUUGUGAUUCUAUAUGCUUGACAAAUGAUAAUGCCGACAAUUUAAGCUCAUCAUAUCCACCAGAAUUGUUGAAUAGUAUUGAAAUCAGCGGAUUGCCAUCACAUAAAUUAGUUUUGAAAAAAGGAAUGCCUGUUAUGCUACUUAGAAAUUUAAACCAAACAAAUGGUUUGUGCAAUGGGACAAGAUUGAUUAUCACAAAUUUAUUUGACAAGAUUAUUGAAGCUAGGGUGUUAACUGGAACUCAUGUGAAUGAGAAAGUUUUUUUGCCAAGAAUUGUAAUGUCUUCUUCUAACCAGAAAUGGCCAUUUAUAUUGAGGAGGAGGCAAUUUCCGAUUAAAGCAUGUUAUGGAAUGACGAUAAAUAAAAGCCAGGGCCAAUCAUUAAAACAAGUUGGUUUAUAUUUGCCUCAGCCUGUUUUUAGUCAUGGACAAUUGUAUGUUGUUUUAUCUAGAGUAACCUCAAGAGAAGGAAUUAAAAUUAUGAUUUUAAACGAAGACAUACCAAAUACGUAUACAAAGAAUAUUGUGUAUAAAGAUGUGUUGAAAAAUUUACAGUCGCAUUCCGACUAAUAUUGUGUAAAAUGUCCAUACAUGAAACCCGGUUGAUGAUUACAAAUAUAUAUGUCAAUGUCAUUGAGGCACAAGUUUUGACCGGAACACAUGUUCAUAACAAAUUUUAUUUACCACGAACUGUACUGUCUGCAUCAAAACACAGAUGACCUUUUGUUUUAAAAAGAUGCCGAUUUCCAAUAACACUGUUAUGGAAUGGCAAUAAAUAGAAGUCAGAACCAAUCAUUAAAACAAGUUAAGUUAUACAUGUCGCAACUAUUUUUCACUCAUAGACAAUUGUAUAUAGCUCUCUCAAGAGUAACAUUGAGAAAAGGAAUUUACAAAAAAAAAAAAAAAAAAAGAAUAUACCAGAAAAAAAAUACUAAAAAAUAAUGAAAACAAAAAUGUUUUGCAAAGUUUGAGACCAACUCUAAAGCUCAUCAUCAACCGAUACCUCCACCAAUUAGUCCUUCUAUCUUCAGCAAAACAAUGAAUAAAAAUUUGCAGGCCAACAUCAACAAGCCAAAAACCAAACCUUCAGUAAAUAAAAAAAACGGAAGGCAAAGGUAAACAAGGGUAUAAUUGUCAAUUCUAAACAAGCCCUAUGUGUAUAUAACUAUACAGCUCUAUGUAGAAGCAGCCGACUCAGAUCUUUCACUUUCAGAUUUGGUUAUAUCUCUAACCUGCACAUCUAUUUUCUACUUAGCAGUGAUCCAACCUACAAAUCCAACCUACAAACUGAAGACAGGUAUUUUGUUUCUCUGUGCUUGCAUAAACGAUCAAAACUACACAGAUUGCUUUAUUCAAUUAUGCAUAUCUUAUUUGAUACUCUUAGAUAAAAAACAAAUUCAGUUGUUUUGGUUGACAUACUUUCAAAAGUGUAAAUCCUCUCUUCUAUGCAACCCAACAACCAUAAAAUGUCUCUUUUAAGUCUAAUCACAAUUUCAUUCUUAGUAUAUUACACUGUCGCUGUCGAUGAUUCCCAUCUUUUUUUUUCCCCCAAAACAGAUCUGCUUUUGCACCAUGUCGACUACCCGAAUUCGUGACAUUAGUCCUGGAACGGGUGGCAUGAAGAUAAAGGUUCGAGUAUCCCGAAUGUGGAGAGGAAAAGUUCUCAAGCCUGUCCAACGAUAUGAUGGCUUGGGAUGCGUGUUAGUCGACCAAUAUGUAAUUGUUAUAAUAGUUGAAUCAUUUUUAACAAGCACCGAUUCAAACAUUUCUGAUCAUUGUCUAUAUGUUAUAUAAUUAUGAAAGAUACUUAUUAUAUCUAUCAAUUGUUACACAUACAGGGUGACUCCAUCCAUGCCGUGGUCAUGGAAGCUGACAUUGAAGAUGUCUUAAGCAAUAUGGCGGAAGGUCCUGUCUAUGAAAUAAGCAAAUUUAGGAUCAUGAAAAAUCAAGAGUCUCAUCAAGUUGUGCCACAUACAGCACAGCUGCAGUUUAACAAUAAAACUGUGUUCAAACUGAUGCGUGAAGAAUUCCCGGCAAUACCCAUACACUGCUUCAACCUACUGGACUACAGCGAACUUCCUGCACGUAACAAAAAAGACACUAUAUUGACAGGUACAAAUUCACAAUCAAGGUGUUCACUAAAUUUAUAUAAUAUGUACAUAACGUUCACAUUUUAUUCUAAUAUUUGAUUGUUAAUCAAACUUCAUACUUUCUAAACGUUGUCUUUUUGCUAAGUAGAUAUAAUUGGGCUUAUAAAGGAGAUGCAUCAAGUUGAAGACACUCCUGUCAAAGGACAAUUGGCAAAAACGCGGGAACUACGAAUACAGAACACAAGGUACCAAAUUGUGAAUAUUUAGGUUAUAAAUAUGUUGACUGUCUAAAGGUUUAAUACACAAUUUCAGUUAUUUGAUAUAUUCAUUUACACACAAUUCUACUGUUGUAUGCGUUUACUGUUUUCCCUAGGAAUGAAGAGCUGCAAGCAACACUUUGGGGAGAACUUGCACUUGACUUUGAUGCAGACAAGAUACUUCAGUCACCCCCGCCAGCUGUGAUAGUCAUUACGAGUUCAAAAGUGGCCACGUAUGCAAGUAAGAACAAAUGUCUUUUUUCUCGACGAGAUCACACUAUUUAUUAUUUCGAAUUGAAUUACUUCUAUUGUCUAUUCUUAGAGAAAAUAGUGGUCAACACAAGCUUGAACAGCUGUGUCUUCAUCAAUCCAAAUAUUCCUGAGUUACAGGAAUACAAAACAAGGUACACAUUUAAAGAUGAAAAUAUGGCCAUAAUUGACAUUCGGUAUUCAUUGUGUGCUAAUAUCAAAUUCUGUACACCUCAAUAAAAUUGUAGGUUCUCAGCCCGAACUAUGCCCCAAAAUUCAUACCAAGCUCAGGCCAAAGCACAAGUUCUUCUGUCACAGAAACAUCAAACAUAAUCAAUAUCGGCAACCUCAUCUUACAAGAUGCAGAUGAAAACAAGGUAACAACUUCUAAAAGGACAUAAUUUAUUUUUAAUUUUUAUUUUAUUUUUUCCUUUUGAAGCUCUAAAAAGACAUAAUGUUGUGCACCUGUUGUUAUGUAUAUUAAAAAAAUUACAACUAAUGUCAUAUGUGACUUCAAAAUGUCUAUAUCAACAUAGGAUUCCAUGUUCACCUGUCGAGCUAAAAUUACAAAAAUCAUCACUCGCGAAGGGUGGUACUACUUUGGUUGUCCAAUCUGUAGAGUGAAGCUACAAAUGGGAUCCGACUCUGUAUUGAAUAAAUGUCCAAACCAUGGAGAGCAAGCUGGAAAGCCAAAGUAAGCAAAAGAAAUUUUUUUGAUUAACUAAAUCUAUGAUACAUUUGUCUAAAUAACUCCACUGAUACUAAAAGUGUCUAUGUUGAUUUCACGGCCUUAUUCAUCUUGAAUAUCGCAUGCGUAAAUUUUUUUAUGAUGGUGUUACUAUUACAGGUACAAGAUGCAAAUUCGUCUCGAAGAUGAAGAUGAUUCAACUUUGGCCAUGCUCAUGGGCAAACCUGCAGAGAUACUAUUUAGAAAACCCUGUAGCCAAUUGAUAGAUGAAGGAAGUACAGAGAAAACUGUCAUCCCGAAAAUCAUCCUUGAUACAAUGCACAUAUACAAAAUCUGGAAGAUUGGGUUUGGUACAAGGAAAGAUUUCAUGGUUAGAGGUGUUUACCCUGACACUGAAAAGGUUGGCCAAGAGAUAGAAGAACCAAAGACAUCGGGGAAACUUCCCUUGAAGAGAAAAUCAUGGUCACCAAAAGAAAGCACUCUGCAUCAACUUUUGGAGUCCGACAAAAAAAAAAAAAAAGGUUUCAAUCUUUACUAUAGUGUCCAUCUAUUCUUUCUUAAUGUAGAUACUGAAAUAUUUAAUGACUUUUACAUCAUAAUUGACAGGGAAGCAGGAGGCAGUAGCAAGGACACAGCAAAACCAGAUUAAGUUAGACAUGAUAGCUCCAUUGUAAUAAUCUAACUAUGUUUUGGCUACCAACUUUUGCAAGGGCGAUGGUGUGUGGAAAAUGCCCUCUUUUGUUCAAAUGAUGUUCUAGCUUGCAACUGGAGCCAAUGUGAUCUGUACAGUCAAAUAGUUUUUGGUGUGUGUGUAUAUUAACAGCUUAAUCUACAACGUUGUAAUCGUUACAGGAAAAUGGCUUUUUGAUGUGAAAUAGUUGUGAUCUGUACAGUCAAAUAGCUUCUGGUGUGUGUGUAUAUUAACAGCCAAAUCUACAGACUUUUUGAUGUGAAAUAGUUUUUGGUGUGUCUCUAUAUAUGUAUAUCAGUUACCAAAUUAAAGGUGUUGUAAUUGCCUUAACUGAUCUUUAUAUCCACUUUACUAUUAUUUGUUUUCAAGUCGAAAUGUAUGUCAAUAUCUCACUUUAUUACAAUUAAUUUUGUUUCUUAGUAUUAAUAAUCAGAACAAAAACAUUUAAAGCAGUCAAUAACUGGUACCCGCAGCAACGCGCGGGCACAUACCUUGUAUGUCACAAAGGGCCAGUACUAGGGGUGACGCAAGUGCCUCCUGUCUCAAUGCAGGUUCAGUUGGGGGCAGGAGGAGGGGUCCCCGUAGUCGCAGUUCCUAUACGGCUCUCAAUGCUGCUCCGGGUGAAUUCCAUCAACCACUUGCCUCGGCUCUUAAUGCUGCUCCAGGUGAAUUGCAUCAACCAUCUGUGGCGGUUGGUGUUUUCGAGACGCCUGCUAUGGUCAGAAUGGUACGAAGAUCACAGAAUAGAAAUCAACCUGGACCAUAUUACGUCUAAACUCCACCUCGUUUUAGCACUAGUUCUAUAUACUAUAGCAGGAAGGCAAUAUAACUGUUUAUUCAGGUAGAGAAAUGACGGUGUUACCCCCGGUUUGCAGAAAAUUACAAAACUGCCACUGCAGCAUCUAUCUCCACAGCAAUACGUGAACACAUGAAAUGUCUGUUUUGCCCCUGCUUCGUAACUAAUCACAAAAUUGCCAUUAUCUGCUCUGUCUUGACAUCUGCUGUUUUUAUAUUGCUGUGUUGGACAUCUGUGAGUCUGGAUUGCUGCCAUGUGUCUUGGUCGUUGACGUCUGGCGUCGAUGGCUUCUUCUCCACGAUCGGUUCGAGUGUAUCGAGUGUUCAUUGACCAUCUUCUUUGUCGCUCUUUGUUGUGAGAGAGAGAUGGGUUAUUCGUGAAAUGAAAAUUUGUAUGGCUCUUCUCAAUCAAAUGGUCGAGGUAAUGAUAUUUGUUCUGUAUAUGAUCGAUUCUGGGUUUCUAUUUCGUUUGCCCUGAUCGUAUUUACCAUUGUUUUGAUACCGAUGCGUUCAUUCAAUUGUUAAACAGGUGUCUGGAUUGCGAUCCAUAUUCCUUAUGAAAAAAGGUAUUGUGUUGUUGUAUCCAUGAACAAUCAACUUAUUUUAUUAUGCCUCAUUCUUGGUGCAAUUACAUGUUAUUUCUGUUCAGUUCAUGUUCAAAUUUUGCUCAAAUUUCAUUAACAGAUUAUACUCUUGGAUCCUAAUUAAAAUUGAAAUUGAGGAGUUUGUCAAUUUUUUUUUUGGCUCUAUUUAAGGGUGUUGAAAGUCUUUGAUGGUUCCAUUUGAUGGUACAUUUGCAAGAACUGCAUGUAUUAACAAUUUGUAUGUUUCAGAUCUCGACUUCGCUAUUCUGGACUCUGGAGAUGAAUCAUUUUGCAUUGGUUGAUGGAAAGCCAUAUCCUUUCGAUAUGAGAGGUGAGUUGGAUGACACUGGUGCUUUCAAGAACUUCAGUAAGUACAUUCACUUUACGUUGUUAUUACCAUGAAUCAUGAGCAUAUGAGCUAACAAAUCCUUUGAAGUUUGAACUAUAUCAGGAAAAGUUUAAGUGUUUGACAAAUCAAAUGAUGGAGCUAAUAUAUUAGAGUAUUUGCAGAAGAUUUGUUCAGUGAUAUUGGGGAAUUUUUGAUUUUGCAGGCUGGAAUUUUGUGUAAUGCGUGCAUUGGUUCAAUUUUCAGGUAUGCAUUUUAGUUGUUUAUUGGAAGAUUGAUGAUGUGUGGUGUUGAUGGAAAAAGUUAUCUGUACUUGACUUUGACUUAUUAAUAAAUCGGUUCUCUGCUAAAGAUAGUAACAAUUGUGUCAAAUUUUUACAAGAAUUUAUGACAGUACACAUUGUUCUGAUUUUUUCCAUUGAGCGUUGCCAAAAACAAUAUCCAAUUGAAUAGUAGGGAGUUCUUUGGUCAAUGAAUUGAGUACAGAAAAUUAGGGAGUUCUUUGGUCACUGUGGACUACAAAUUGGAAACAUUUGGUACUUCAGGUCUAAGAUUUCAAUAGUUUUAGAUAUAGCUUGAGGCCCAAUAUUGAAACAUUGAAAUCUUCAGUGAUCAUUAACUUACAAGGUCUGAUAGGAUUCAGUUCAAAAAGGGUCAUAUUAACAAAGGAAGUUUGGAAACUGACACCUGCAUUUCAAUAUCAAAAUGUAUGUCUAAAGUUUAGAUGAAUAUUAAAUACUUUCGAUUUUGAGUCUUAGCUGCUUGCAUUAUAAUACACGCUCAUUGCAUCCCUUUUUUGUACGUUUUGAUUUAGAUUUAUGCUGCUAUUGGAAAUGUUGGUGGAAGGGAGUUAGCUGUCAUCUUUUUAGUUCUUAUAUUUAUUUAGAACUACUCAGAAGGAUCUGUUUCAGAUGGAAGCAAUAGCUGAUAUUGUUGAUUAUUCAUGAGGGGUAAAAUACUCUUAACAUGUUUACUUAUCGUUUACUAUUUAUUUCAUUUACUGUUUGAAAAUGCUAGAUAUGUUUCUUCCACUGAAAAGUUCUCUGUGACCAGGAGACUACCAAAGGUUGCAGGAAAGUCUACAAUUGAACAUCAAGUUUGGAUAAUGAGUUUCUGAUAAUUUUGAAAUAUAUGUGAGAGCAUUAUAACUUUCAACAACAUUUAAACACUUUAAGACCAUUACUGGUUUUCAUAAAUGUGUUGUGGAGCUAUUCAAAAUAAUGAAGGACAAUAUUGAGCUUGCAGUUUUUGCAGAAGAAUUUUAAUGGGAAAUAUAUAUCAGUGUUGUCAAUGCGUAGGAAACUAUCAUUAAAGCUUUGAAUGGUGUUGAUCAUCCAUCUUUAACAAGUCUCUUCUAUUUACUUUGGCAGCAUUGAAACCCUCCAAUGCUGGUAUCAGGCCUACUUAAUUGUUUGUUCAGUUUCAACUGUUUAAGGAACAUGAGCAUAUGAGCUGACAAAUCAAUUGAUCUAUUUCAGAAAAAGUUUCUGUGUUUUGACAAAUGAAAUGAUUCAGCUAAUAUACUGUAGAGUAUUUGCAAAAGAAUUGUUCAAUGGGGAAUAUAUCAGCUUGGUUGAUGCUUUGGGAACUAAGCAUAAAGCUUUUAAUGGUGUUAAUUAUCCGUCUGUACCAAGCCCUUUAUUUACUUCGGUAACAUUGGAGGAAUAUGAUUUCAGUAUCAAGUCUAUGCAAUAGUUUGUUCAAUUUGAUUCAACUGUUUAAAGGAUGAGCUUAUGAGCUUACGGGUCCAUUGAACAGUUAGCUUAUGAGCUUUUUUAUAUAUUCACGUUUGUCCCAAUCUGAUAUUUGUGGCCAUUUGUACAUGGUUCAGAAUAAUAUUCUUCCUCGGGAAUCUUUGUAGAGUAUUCAAGGCAGCGAGAACUAAGUCACCCAUAACAAUCAAAACACAAAUUAGUAGACAAUUGAGAGGUAAUUGAGAGCUACUACUUAAUAUAACUUACUUUCUCAUUGCAGAGGAGAAGAGAGCAAAAGGGCUUCCAAGUGAGUGUUGCUUAUAUCUAUAUCUAUACAUUUGUUUACUAUUUCAGAACUUAUUUAUGUUUCGCUGGUGUGGUUCAAAUGAAACCUCUGACAAAAAUAUAUUCUUUACUUUGCAGAGGACAAGGAAGUAAAGGGACCUCAAAGUAAGUUUAGCAUUUCUAUUUCAAAACUUAUUUAUGUUGCGAUGGUGCCCUUUGAAUGGAAUGAUCUAUGAUCAUCUUCUGAUGUUUAUCAAUUGACAACGAUUAGUAGCAGUUUCAUUUACAAUCAAAUCGAAUUUCUGUCUAAAAUAUGUUUUUCAAUUUGCAGAGGAGAAGGAAGCAAAUGGACACCAAAGUAAGUGUUCAUUAUAUCCAUAUCAGUGCAUUUGUUUUCUCUAAAAAUUUAUUUAUGUUGCAGUAGUAUGUCUUGCAUUGGUUUUGUUUAUCUUUUAACAACUUUAUCAAUAUUCAAUGCUUCAAUUUAAAUGUUUAUGUACUAGACGUCAACCAAACAAAGCUAAGUCCAAGACAAAGGAGGACUAAGGUUUCUGUGCUUAUAUAUAUGCUCGCUCCCCAGCAAUAGUUUUUUUGAUGCUAAGUUGCUAACAGGUUAGACGUACAUGGUUCUAACUACAGAUCGACUAUUGUUUUGACUAGCAAUGGGAAGCGUUUUGCUGUGCAGAAUGAUAUAAUAACACAUGACUUAUUUUUUGUGCUCUCAGUUAUUUUGGUGUGUAUGACAGUGUUGUCUACAGAGAGAGCAAUGUACUGUAUAAUACUACAAUGUGAUGUUUUUGUUUGAUAAGUCAUGUGUAUUGUAGACGCUAAGUUAAUGGAUUUUUUGUAAUCUAACAUUUUCAUUUUUCACCAUAUCUCCAUGUAAUAGUGUGUGUGUGUGUGUUUACUAUGCAAUAUCUCCAUUAUAUUGCUACAUUCAUUGGCAUACCAAACAACAUAAAAAUUUAUCCAAACAAAAACAAUUCCGGUGAUUAAUAUCAGUCAUUGCAAACCGUGGCAUCGCGUGGGCAUCAUCUAGUCUGGUUAUUAUUGCCAAUGCCAGCCGGGUUAUCAAGGGAACCCUUACCUCCCCGAUGCUUGCCAAGGUGAAAUAUGUAAAUAACAAUAUACAGUACAUGUGUAUGUGUGUCUCUGUGUGCACUUUUCAUUUGAUAUGUUUGAGGGUACAUGCGUGUUUGUGUCUGUGAUUCAGUUGCUGCAGCCGGAAAUUAAAGCUCCGGUUAUGGAUUAAGUUUACAUGUUUGUUAAUAACAAUGUGUUUUCCUGGGUUUUUCAGAUAUUGAUGAGUGCAAGGUUUCAAACCCCUGCACCAAUGGACUGUGUGAAAAUUCACCUGGAAGUUACUUACGCUUGUGUGACAAAGGGUACAGAAGCAAUGGAACGAAUAAUCAAAGCUGUAUUCAAGAGAUUCCCAACGACAAAAAUCAAACAAAGACGACGCUCCUGCUUAUUGUAUCAUUGAGUAUGUACUAUUUCUAUAAUAGCACGCUGCAUGCAUCAUCUGAUCAUAUAUAGCCUAAAGUCAAACGUAAACUUUUUUUGAACAAUAAUUAACCUGAUCAGCUAUAUUAGGACCCAAAAUGAAAUUCUCGUAUCUAAUAUUUAAAAUAUGCAUCAUUUACCUUCCUCAAAAAAUAAAAAAAAAUGCAUCAUAUACAAGUGAUUUGAAAUUAAAAAAAGAAAAUGAAAGAAUAUAUAUGCAUCAUAUACAAGUGAUUUGAAGAAGCUUUCACGGUUUCACCUACAAAUGUUAUCCCCUGCUUUUACGGUACCGACUUUUAAAAGCUUAGAAAGUUUGAUUGAUCUAAAUUAUUUCACUAAUAAUUUAGAAUCAAAUAAAAAUAACUAAAGAAUUUCAUCGAACUCACUAUAUAUGUGCAGGUGUAACUGGGGCCUUCUUGGUUCUGUUUGUUGGAAUUUCAUUGAUAUGUUGCAGAAUAAAGAAAACAAAAUUCAACAAACUGAAAGAAAAGUACUAUAAAGAAAAUGGUGGCUUAUUGUUACUACAGCAACUCGCUAACAAUGGAGGCUCAGUGGAGACAACAAAAAUCUUCACCACAGAAGAACUAGAGAACGCAACAAACAAUUACCAUGAGAGUGGAGUCCUUGGAGAAGGAGGCUACGGAACAGUUUAUAAAGGAGUACUAAAUUAAAGGACAACAAAGUGGUUGCCAUAAAGAAGUCAAAAGGAGGUACCUAGUUAAAUAGGGUCGGAAAUACAUUAUAAACGUAAUACUUUAUGUUCUUAUCAUUAUCCUUUCGCAAAUCAACCACAAAAACGUGGCAAAACUAUUAGGUUGUUGUUUAGAAACAGAAGUGCCUUUACUAGUAUAUGAGUUCAUCACCCAGGGGACUCUCUUUGAGCACAUUCAUAAAAGAAGAUCACCUCUCCCUUUUGAAUUACGAAUGAAGAUAGCAACUCAAAGCGCAGAAGCACUGUCUCACUUACACUCCUCAAUUUCCACACUGAUAAUACAUCGAGAUGUGAAAACGGCAAAUACUCUGUUAGCUGAUGAUUACGCGGCGAAAGUGUCAGAUUUCGGAGCUUCCCGUUUGGUUCCUUCAGGUCCAACUGAUAUGCAAACUUUGGCAGUGCCCGGAACAUUUGGAUACCUAGACCCUGAAUAUCUGCAAUUAAACCAACUAACAGAAAAGAGUGACGUUUACAGCUUUGGAGUUAUCCUAGUGGAAAUAAUAACAAGCAAAGUGCCACUUUCUAAAGGGAAAAGCUUAGCAAGCAUCUUUAUUGUUUCCAUCAAAGAAGAUAGGUUGGAUCAAAUUCUUGACGAUGACAUAGUGAAUGAGGGAAACAUUGAGACGGUAAAGAAUGUUGUCAAUCUCGCAAAACGGUGCUUGAGGGUGAAUGGGGAGGGAAGGCCUACCAUGAAAGAAGUUGUCAAAGAGUUAGAGGAAAUGAGUGUCACGGCAAAACAUCCCUGGGAAUUUAAUGCUAGUUUUUGCGGAGAAGAGACUGAGUACUUGCUUGGAUCACUUAAUACAGAUGAUUCCGUGGUACGACCAAUGCAUCUGACAGCAUGCAAAACCAACUGCAGUUGAUGCCCUAUGGCGGUGGACGUUAGUUGAUUGGUGUCGCUUGUAAUGUUUUCUUAAUCCUGUAUGUACGUAUUUUUUAGUAUUGUUGUUUCUGUCUGAAUGUCUGAUAAGUGCGUUAGAAAUAAAAGUGUAUUUUCGCAUUUUGUAAUUGUUGUAUGCAUGUAAGGAAACAAGUGUGGUCUUAGUCUUACAGUACACUUACCGGUGUUUUUUUCCAGGUAUUGUGAUUGAUGCAACUUAGCAAGCAACCGGUUUUCCUUGAACCAUAUAUGUGGUUAAUUAAAGGCCUUUGCCUUUCACACGAGUUGGUGGUGCUUGAAAGUUGGUAUGUGAUGGUCAGCACAUCAAUGGGAAACCUUAAUUUUUGGUUCUAGCCUCACCUAAUCAUCGUUCAUCAAAGUUACAUGAACCCUAACAAUAACACGGUUGAUAUAUACCAGCUUGGUCAACUUGAAGCAUGAGUCCGAUUGUUUUCCCAACUAGCCUUUUGUGAGUGUCACCAAAAUGAUCUAUGAUUUUGGAAAAUUCUAGUAUACAAAUUUGCAUAUAUAUCAUACAAACUAAGUAUGUGGCUAUCAUUGCUUGUAAAUAUAGUAAUAUGACAAUUUUAUCCUCCUCAAAAUACUUCUUGUAUGUCCUUACAUAGAAGUGAGUGGACCACUUUUUGAGUUUGUAUACCAUACACAUCUGUAUAGUAGACAAACCCAUGAUUUUCACCCAAAUCAAAACAAAAAUCGGAAUGCAUAAUAAUAAAGAAUUAGUCAUAGUCAUUUAGGAGAAUCAUAUAUAGCUCUCUGAAAACCCCAGAGAUCAUUUUCUUGACACGAAUUACAUCUCGUUCAAUGGUGAAUGUAAAGAGGAAGCAGUCAUGUACCACGAGCUUGAACUUCUAGAAGAGAAGGGACGCGCCACAUAGAGGGCAUGGCGCUCUUGAAGGAGUCGAAGGCCACCGCUCUGAACCAAGGAGCCACUCACGAUAUUUAACCUAUUUUUUAGUACCUUGUAGGUGUAAAUAUGGAGAUUGAAACUUUUCAUGAAUGCUAACAAUUUUCUUAGAUUUAAAGAAAUAUAAUCUCGAACCUUCCUAGCUCGAAGUACCAAGUCAACAGUUAAGGAUACAUGUAUAUGCAAACUAGGUAGAUAAGUACUACACUAGUUGAAUCUGCAUGCUCACUAGUUUUCGCUUGGAAAAUUUCCACAAGUCAUGUCAUGUUCACAAUGCAAAUUAGAAAAUUUCCUCCAGUCAUGUCAUCUUCACACUGCUAAUUAGAAAAUUUCCACCAGUCAUCUUCGUAUUGCAAAAGGAAAUUCUUUAAUUCCAUUUAGAUCUACUUGUGACCUGGACGACUUCAUCUUAUCGUCUAGAAAUUGACAUAAACUAAUAAACGAAACAAGUUCCUAUUUACAACUACCACCUCAACUUGUCACCAUGAUCAUCAACCAAAACGGAACACGAAUUGUCAUAUUGACAUAGCAUAGAAUAAUUAGUUAGUAGCACAAAAUUAUCGAUGGAAAUGGUGGUUGUGCCCCGUCAGUCCGUUAAUUUAUAGUGAUGGGGUGAAAAAAUAAAUAAAUCAAAAGCCAUUCUAAACACAAGGACCAAAAAUAAUUUUUGCCACCUGAUCAGUAAACAAAUCAAGUAUAGCUAGGCAGAAGGGGUCCUGGCUUGGCAAAGGCACAUCAAGCUUUCGUUUUCUUGAAACCGAUUGAUCUCAUAACUUGUGCUUGACUAUGAGAUAACAUCUCUUCUGUAUUACCUGCUUGCAUCUAAACUAAAAUAUCAAGUUUUUGGGCUUACCAAGUAGCUUCGGGAAAUAAGAGAGACGACCAAGACAUUUUGAUUUGCUCACAACCUCUUCCUUCUAUUCGUCUACAAAAGCGAGCUUGCAAACACAACUUCACUCAGAAGAAAUACAGUUUAUACAUUUAUACCUCUCAGUUGAAGUACUGAGUUAAUUGGUGCAUGCAGGUUACUAAUUAACUAAGUAUGCAAUUCAUAUUGGUGGUGGUACUGGUUCUCCUCGCAUUUACGGCCGCAGGCAAAGAAGCAGAAGCAGCUGAAGCCCUCCCGCCUCAAGCGCUUCAUGGCUGCUCUGACAAGUGCGGUGAUCUCACAGUUCCAUAUCCAUUUGGCAUGGAGGAGGGUUGUUACCUGGGAGAUGAAUUCUUUAUUUAUUGCAACCGUUCGACCCAAUCAGCAUAUUUGAUGGGCAGCAGCAGCAGUAUCAUUGUUACUAACAUUUCCCUAGAGGUUGGGGAGAUGCAAAUAUCGAAGCGAAUAGGGCGAGAUUGUUACGAUAAAGAGGGAAACCGAAACUACAACAUAAGCACAGCAGGAAAGUUCACAUUGGUACCUCCAUACACUAUAUCUGAUGCCCAAAACAAGUUCUACGCCGUUGGUUGUGACACUAUUGCAGCCAUGGGCAGCUUCCGAGGGGAAAAAGAAGUCAUUACUGGGUGCAUUUCAGUAUGCAACAGCCUCAGCAGUGUUAAUAAGAACUCUUGCUCUGGCAUUGGGUGUUGCCAGGUUAACAUCCCCAGUGGACUGAUCGAUCUCACUUUCGAGUUGAGAAGCUUCUACAAUCAUACGAAUGUAUCUGAGUUUAACCCCUGCAGCUACGCCUUCAUUGCAGAGCAAGACCGGUUCAAUUUUAACUCUUCUAGUUUUGAACAACUGAAAGGCAUUGAACGGCUUCCAAUGGUUCUUAAUUGGGCCAUUGUGAAUGACACAGAUCCCUGCGAUGAGGCUCAGAACAGGAAGGGUUCCGCAUGCAAGGCUAAUAGCAAGUGCUUCAACCCAGCUAUCAAUGAGUCUGUAGGUUACUUGUGCCAGUGCUUGCCUGGUUAUGAAGGAAACCCGUACCACCCAGAUGGUUGCAAAGGUGAAAAAUUAUCUUUGAUUUACCUAUUCAGCUACUAUUAUAUCAAUAUAAAUUAAUUAAAGCUCUCACCAUUGGAAGUGCAAGUUUACCAAAUUUAGUGAUGUCUGAUACGCUUUUCCUUUCCUAAUUUCCCUUUCAGAUAUUGAUGAGUGCAAAGACCCAAACCUCUGCCAGAACGGACAAUGCUUGAAUGAGUGAAUCUGCCACCUCCACAAAAUUACACUUGUUCAUCAUGUCACAAAGGAUACAAACACGACGGCACCAAUGACAAGAGUUGCAUCAAAGACGAUUCCGAAAGACGCUCAAAGAUCGUUCUCCUGCUUGAAAUUUCAUUGGGUAUGUAGAAUUAGAUAUUAACAUGCAUGUGCAUCCUAUGACCACCCUAAACUUCUAUUGAACAGUAUUGACGGACUGAAAUUUAUUUAGCUUCAGCUAUACUUUCGUUCCAAAUUCUAAUUUCGCUUAACCUAGUAAUACUCAUACUUUUUCUUCUAAAAGAAGUGAUGAAAAGAGAAUGCGUACGUAAGUCAUUCCCAUUUUAUAAAGGAAAACUUUUAAUUCUUAUAAGAAAAAAAGUUUAAUUUCUCUGAUGUGUAAAAAAAAGACGACGCUCUUCCUUAUUGUAUCAUUGAGUACGUGCUAUUUCUAUAAUAGCACGCUGCAUGCAUCAUCUGAUCAAAACCUGAUCAGCUAUGUUCGGACCCAAACUGAAAUUCUCAUAUCUACUAUUUAAAAUGAAGAACUUAAAAAAGAAAAAGAAAGAAUAUCCAUCAUAUACAUGUGAUUUGAAGAAGCUUUCACGGUUUCACCUACAUAUGUUUUCCCCUGUUUUUAUGGUACUGACUUUUAAUAGCCUAGAAAGUUUGAUUAAUCUAAAAAAAUUCACUAAUUAUUUAAAAUCAAACAAAAGUAACUAAAGAAUUUCAUCAAACUCCACUAUAACAAAUCUCCCUAGAGACAAUCAGAAAUAAAAUCAAUUUUGCCUCAAUUGAUUGUUGGUAUAUAUGUGCAGGUGUAACUGGGGGCUUCUUUGUUCUGUUUGUUGGAAUUUCAUGGAUAUGUUGCAGAAUACGGAAAACAAAAUUCAAGAAACAGAAAGAAAAGUACUUUAAAGAAAAUGGUGGCUUAUUGUUACUACAACAACUCGCUAACCAUGGAGGCUCAGUGGAGACAACAAAAGUCUUCACCGAAGAAGAACUAGAGAAUGCAACAAACAAUUACCAUGAGAGUGGAGUCCUUGGAGAAGGAGGCUACGGAACAGUUCAUAAAGGAGUACUAAAGGACAACAAAGUGGUUGCCAUAAAGAAGUCAAAAGGAGGUACCUCGACCCAGAGCGAACAGUUUGUUAACGAGGUGAUUGUUCUUUCUCAAAUCAACCACAGAAAUGUGGUGAAGCUACUAGGUUGUUGUUUGGAGACAGCAGUGCCUUUACUGGUAUACGAAUUUGCACUCUAUACGAGCACAUUCAUAAAAGAAGAUCAUCACUGUCAUUUGAACAGCGAAUGAAGAUAGCUGUUGAAACAGCAGGAGCACUAGCAUACUUACACUCCUCCACAUCAAUGCCAAUCAUACAUCGAGACGUGAAAGCAGCAAAUAUACUCUUGGAUGAUAAUUAUACAGCCAAAGUGUCGGACUUCGGAGCUUCACGGUUGGUUCCUCUAGGUCAAACCGAAAUACAAACUUUGGUGCUCGGGACGUUUGGAUACCUAGACCCAGAAUAUUUGCAGUCGAACCAACUAACAGAAAAAAGUGAUGUCUACAGCUUUGGAGUUGUCCUAGUGGAGCUACUUACAAGCAAAGUGGCAGUUUCUAAUGAUAGAUGCUUAACAAGCAUCUUUAUUUCUUGCAUGGAUGAAGAUCGCUUAAAAGAAAUUCUUGACGAUGCCAUACUGAAUGAGGGAAACAUUGAGACAGCAGUAAACGUGGCCAAUCUCGCAAAAAGAUGUUUGAGGUUAAAAGGGGAGGAAAGGCCUACCAUGAAAGAAGUUGCCAUGGAGCUAGAGGGAAUGGCAAUUAUGGCAAAGCAUCCGUGGGGAAAGAAUGCUAAAUUCUGUCCGGAGGAGAAUGAGUACCUGCUUGGUUCACCUACUUCAGACAGUUAUGACAUGGAUGCUAGAGGAGGUGAUCACAAUUCUAGUGGUUUAACCAUUGGUACGACUACUGUGUAUGACAGCAUGCAAAUCCAGAUGUUGAUUCCACAUGGUAAUGGACGAUAGUUAGUUGGCGUGUUCCUUAUGACUUAUAUACCAUGCAUUGUUGUAAUCCUUGUUUCAUUUUUAUUAGUGCCUUGUUAAAUAAGUGUAUGUAAGCAUACUAUUAAUUUGAUACGUGUAAAUUAAGUGUGGUCUUAUAUGUGUGUAUAUAUAUUAUACAAUCUGUUUCAGAUACGGACGUCCGCACCGCCUUAAAGUGCGGACAUCCCUCCUUUCGCCACCGUACGGCGCCGACGAGGGCGCGCCUCCACCCCAGCGAACUCCAGCAGCAUCCCCGACCAUUUUCCCUCCCCGGCGAGUCCGCCGAAUCCCAGUUUUCCUGCCAGAUCACCAAAAACUUCAAAAAAAAGUCAAUCUGGCCCGAAAAUUGGAAUUCGGCAGACUCGCCGGGGAUGGAAAGUGGUCAGGAAAGCUGCUGGAGUCCGCUGGGAUGGAGGCGCGCCCUCGCCGGUGCCGUACGGUGGCGAAAGGAGGGACGUCCGCACUUUAAGAGCCGUGCGGAUGUCCGCACCUGAUACUAGCUCCCUAAUAUAUUAUAUGUAUUUAUAUAUGAAGUGUUGUUUUGAAUUCUUUCCCUGAAUUUUGUACUCUAUGCAAUUUAUAAAGCAAUCAGGCAUAUAACAGUAUUCAUCGAUUCUAGAAAACAUUUUAUGCUUAAUUUCAAAACAUACAUCCAAAUCAAGGCUUUAGACUAUCAUCAUGAACAGGCGUAUUCCUCUGGAUUAAUUGGCUAAACAAAUUCUAGCAAUAGUGAGGACUUACAGAUAUCAAGUAAUAGCCAGUUGAACUGGGAGCACUUACUGGAAUCAGACAAGUAAGUUGGACCGCCCCCUUCAUCUAGAAGCUUUGCCUGGGGAAAUCUCAAACAGUAUAAGUGAGCGUGCCUGCAAACUGAAAAAGCAAUCCAUGUCAAAACAACAUCUUUUUAACAAUGAAGAUGAUAUGACAACAGAAGCCAUGCAAUUUACAGAUUUUAAAGCUUCCCCGUUCAAUCUAAUGAAGAUCAUUGUCAAAUAGAGCCCAACAGUGUUACAGUACAUCAGUGCUAGUGGUAUUUUAGGGUAUUAUAUGUUCACGACUUCACAGAAUAACUGUGAAGGAAAACUACAACCACCAGAGCUUAAGCCCCAAAGCAAACAAUAACGUUACACAUUUUCAGCCUAACCGGGACAAUAAACCUUAGCUGGUAAGAUCUAGUGAAGAAUUACUUGCUCAUUUAUUAAAAGUGUCUUCCCAAAACCAAAAAUAAUAAAAAAAGAAAAAAGAAAUCAUGUUACAGGCCUAAGCCACUCAAGGAAAGCUAAAGAACAACUUGACUAAGGGAUAAUUCGCGACUACUACAUAUACAACCAAGUGCAGUGAUAAUGCAACAUCUGAAAAUGCGAAAUGAAGUUACUCAUGUACAUGUCAUGAUGGGUACACAAUCUACGAUAAGAACAAUGAUCGUUGCGGCAAAAAUCUUGAUACUUCCAUACAAAUUACAGUGGGUAUGUAUUGAUAGCAAUGUGAUUUACAAUUUUAAAUAUGAGCUUCCGCACUAGCAUGUUAUUAUUUAUUAAAGACUGUAAUUCUGUAAACACAAUAUACAUAUCUGAUAAAAUUCAUAAAGAUAAUCCGUUGUGAUUUUUCAAUUGUAUGCAGGUAUCAUUUUCAGCUUCUUGGUAAUGCUGGUUGGAAUUUCAUGGAUGUAUUGGGUAAUGAAGAAAAGGAAGUUCAUCAAAUUCAAGGAGAAGUACUUCAAAGAAAAUGGUGGCUUACUGUUACAGCAACAACUUGCUACUCAGGUAAUGGAGGCAAUAAAAGUCUAUACAACAAAAGAACUUGAGCAGGCUACAAACAAUUACCACAAAAGUCAGAGUUCUCGGUGAAGGAGGCUACGGAACAGUUUACAAAGGAUUUAUUAUCAGAUAACAAAGAGGUCGCAAUUAAAAAGUCAGUUUGUAAAUGAGGUGAUUGUCCUUUCUCAGAUAAACCAUAGAGAUGUAGUGAGGCAAUAUAUUAGGUUGUUGUUUAGAGUUCAUUAGUCAUGGUACCCUUUUUGAACACAUUCAUAAGAAAAGAUCAACUCUUUUAUUGAGUUUUAAGAUAGCAGCAGAAACUGCAGGAGCACUAGCAUACUUACAUCAUUCAACUUUCCAUGCCCGGGAUGCGAAAACAAUGAGAAUAUACUGUUAGAUGAUAAGUAUAUUAAUGAAACACUUGAAUGUAUGGCUAAUCUUGCAAAAACAUGUUUAAAGUUUUACCGUGACAGAACGCGAAUUGCAGUGAAGCAUCCAUGGGGAGGUAAAACCAAUUGUCUUCCAGAGGAGACUGGAGCCACCUAAUUCAGAAGACGCCGCUAUUGGCCGGAGUCGGUAACCCAGCCGAUGCCGUAGAAACGGACGCCCUACUUUUAUGUGAUUCACGGCUUCCAUUUUGUGCAUUCAGAUAUCUCCCAUUUCGAUUUCUGUGGGAAUGCCUUUUGGGUUCGGCAAUAUUAACCCCAAGACUAAGAGUGAUAAAAUAAAAUAAAUAAUAUUCACAAGCAACACGUGAGCAACUCUGAAGCUUUUAGCUCAAUACAUAUGGUUAGCUUGAGGUGCUGUUUAACAAUCUCCGACUUGGGUCUUGCAGAACUCGAACUGGGUUCUCCAGAGGUGACCAUUUCUAUGCGUCGUACCCGGCUGGAACUGAGCUCCUGAGAGACGAAGCUAAGGUUAGUUAGUUUUGAGUGUGUUUGGUUUGAUUGGUAUUGGUUUGGUCACUUUGGUGUUACAUGUGAUACUUGAAUUCUUGGUUUGGAUUUGAGCUGUAUAACCUGCGUUGGGUAAUUGCUUUGAAACGGAACAAUGCAAGUUUGGAAACGGCCUUACGCGACAGUAUAUUAUAACUACUGAGAAUUUUGUCCAAAGAAAAAAACACUACUCAGAAAUUCAGAAUGUUCAUCCUUGUUUCUUUGUUUUGACCAUAUCAACUGAUGAGAUGUUUUGAUACAUGUUUUGAUCAACUAGAGUAUUAGUGACCUCAUAUUGACCAACGUGAAUACGUGAUGGUUUGUUUGGUCAAGUUUUAUGACAAUUUAAUCAUUUUGAAAUAUCUUUGAAAUCGUCCUUAUGGUACUGAGUUAGAGUAAUUAUGCCAUUGGCGGUCCCAUAUUGACUCGUGUUAAAUGUACCAAGUUGGAUGUCCUGUCCGGCCUGUUGUAUUUGCUACAUUGUCACAUUGCAGUGUACACACACAAAUCCGUGCUACGAUGAAGAACAUUUCCAUGCACGGAUACUACCAGGUCUUCCUUCCACAUGCCUACAAAAGGACCUUAUUGCUUGAAUUUACGUUACUCACAAGCAAUUCAUCAUUUUCCACCUUUCUUCUUCGAGUUGUAUCAUGGCAGCCUUGCUGGGGAUCUUGCUUAUCAUUCAGCUCUCAUUCGUAAUCAUCAUCGGAGUACUAAUUGUGUCAACAACAGCAGCACCACCUCAAGCACUGCCUAACUGCCCAGACAAAUGUGGUAAUAUCACAGUUCCUUAUCCCUUUGGCAUGGCCGAAGGUUGUUACCGAUCAAAUUCCUUCUUUGUGAAUUGUAGCCUAGCCACCGAUCCCCCAACAGCUUAUUUGAGCAAAAAUGGCACUAUCAUCCUUACCAACAUAUCCAUCGCUGAUGGUGAGGUGCAAAUAUUAAACACUAUAGCUCGAGAUUGCUAUAGCGCCUCUGGUCUGAGAACCGUGAGGAACAGCCCUGUGCUACGGCUGAAAUCUACUUACAUCAUCUCCGAUACCAAAAACAAGUUCAUUGCCGUUGGUUGUGACACUUACGCUAUCUUCAAGGGAUUCCGGGGCUCAGAUGAGUCCGUAACUGGAUGUAUGUCAGUAUGUAACAGCCUAGACAACGUUGAUCAGAAUUCUUGCUCCGGCAUUGGAUGUUGCCAAACAAACAUUCCUAGCGGACUGCACAACCGUUCUGUCACACUGGAUAGCUAUACCAAUCAUUCAGGUAUAUGGGACUUUAAUCCCUGCAGCUAUGCGUUCAUUGUUGAAGAGACACAGUUCAACUUCUCUGGGAACACAACUUUUCAACAACUGAACAGCACCACACGGCUUCCGAUGGUUCUUAACUGGGCAAUUGGGGAUGAUCCAGACCCUUGUGAUGUAGCUCAAACGAGGGAGGAUUUCGUAUGCAUGCAAAAUAGCAAGUGUGUGAAUCCCCCAAAUAGAAAUGGCUACAUUUGCCAGUGCUUGGAAGGUUAUGAAGGGAACCCAUACCACCCAGAUGGUUGCCAAGGUGAUCUCUACUUCUAUAAAACAAUUGGGAAAUAAAACACAAAUUUGGAUUUAAUACCCUGAAUUACCUGAUUAACUAAUCUGGUAUGUGCAUGUGUGUUUUUAUUUCUUUUCAGAUAUUGAUGAGUGCACGGAUUCAAACCUCUGCAACAAUGGCAAGUGCAUAAAUUCGCCAGGAAAUUACUCUUGUUCAUGUUCAAAAGGAUACAAGAUCGACAACACGAAUGACAAGAGUUGCAUCAAAGAGCAUACCAAAAAUAAAUCAAAGAUGACAAUCCUGCUUAUUGUUUCAUUGAGUAAGUACACUUGCUUACAUAGUGGUUUAGUAAAAUGCAUUUCCCUAGCCUAAAUUCUAAGAUAAACUCUUAAUCAAUAGUAAUUAACUAAUUGCAUCCAAACUUGUUAACCUUUAGUUACUUUGAAUCUAGCCUAGGAUUUCCAUAUAAAUUUUCUUGAAAGAGUAAGUAAUAUAAAUUUGCAAUGAGUAAGUAAUAUAAAUUUCUAGUUCUAAUUUCAGUUACAUUUGAUCAUAUUGAAAUCCUCCAAUUUCAGUUCCAAACAUUUUUAACAACCAUCUUUAAUUAACAAAUAUAUCAACCAUCUUUAACAAACAAACGAUUGAACUUUUGGAAAGAAAGAGGUGCAAAACCUUUCUGCUCAGAGAGAAAAGAGAGUCCUCUUUCUUUUGUCAAGAACAUAUUCACCUAGAGAAAACAGAGUUUAAGUUCUAACAGAAGGGGAAGGAGUAAAACCUUCAUUUCCUAAGCUCAAUAAGAAAAGCCCAGUUAAACCAUUGACAAAAUAUCAAAUCUAAUUUGGUUGUGAUUUUAAUUAUAUGCAGGUGUAAGUAUAGGCUUGUUGGUUAUAUUUGUGGGAAUUUCAUGGAUAUGUUGCGGAAUAAAGAGAAGACAAUACACUAAACUCAAAGAAAGGUAUUUCAAAGAGAAUGGUGGCUUAUUGUUACUACAACAACUCGCUAGUCAUGGAGGCACUGUGGAGACAACAAAAAUCUUUUCCACAGAAGAACUUGAGAAGGCAACAAACAAUUACCACGAGAGUAGAGUCCUCGGAGAAGGAGGCUAUGGAACAGUUUACAAAGGAAUUCUACCAGAUGACAAAGUGGUGGCGAUAAAGAAGUCGAAAGGUGGUGCCCCGACCCAAAGUGAUCAGUUUGUUAACGAGGUGAUUGUUCUAUCCCAAAUAAACCACAGAAAUGUGGUGAAGCUACUUGGUUGUUGUUUAGAGACAGUAGUGCCUUUACUAGUAUAUGAGUUCAUCACCAAUGGUACUCUUUACGAGCACAUUCAUAAAAAAGAUCAUCACUGUCAUUUGAACUACGAAUGAGGAUAGCAGUUGAAACGGCAGAAGCAUUAGCAUACUUGCACUCCUCAACUUCAAAUCAAUCAUACAUAGAGAUGUGAAAGCAGAAAAUAUUCUGCUAGAUGAUAGUUAUACGGCGAAAGUGUCAGACUUCGGAGCUUCAAGAUUGGUUCCAUCAGGUCAAACUGAAAUACAAACUCUAGUGCUUGGGACCUUCGGUUACCUAGACCCAGAAUAUCUGCAAUCUAACCAACUAACAGAAAAAAGUGACGUCUACAGCUUUGGUGUUGUCCUAGUGGAGCUACUAACAAGCAUAGUGGCACUUUCCAAGGGCAAAUGCUUAACAAGCAUCUUUCUUUCUUCCAUGGGUGAAGGUCGCUUGAAUCAAAUUCUUGAUGAUGACAUUGUGAAUGAGGGAAACAUUGAGACAAUAAAGAGAGUGGCUAUUCUUGCAGAAAGAUGCUUGAGGGUAAAAGGGGAGGAAAGGCCUACCAUGAAAGAAGUAGCAAUGGAGCUAGAGAGAAUGAGGAUUACAUCAAAGCAUCCAUGGGGAACUAAAGUUGAUUUCUGUCCCGAAGAAAAUGAGUACCUGCUUGGGUCACUUGAUUCAGAUGCUUAUGUUUUGGAUGUUACAGGAGGUAAUGGUAGUUCUAGUGGUUUUACUACCGGUACAACCUCAGGAUAUGACAGUAUGCAAAUACAAAUGUUAAUGCCAUAUGGUUAUGGUUCCGGUGAUGGAAGAUAGUUAAAUGGCGUGUUGCUUCAUGUGUAUGUAUUAUGUAUUCUUUAGGAAUGGUUUUUGAAUUUAAGCAGUUUCUCAGACAAUAAAAUCGUAUUUUAGCAUAUAAGUUCAGUGUGGUCUUGAGUGUUUGCUCCCUGGUUUUGUACUUGGUGAAAUAGCAAGAUGGAAUGCAUUGCACUGUUUAGGAAAUAAAAUUUCAAACAAAUGCAAAAUCAAUCACUAUAUAUCGUAAUUUUGGUUAUUUCUAGUUUUCUACUAUUAAACCAGACAAGUAAAAGUUAGAUGAAAAAUCAAUUGGCAAUGGGUGAAGUGACCCAAACCCUUAUAAACCCACAUGCAAGGUCUCAUAUUCUCGAUGUGGAAUUGAUAUCUCAACACGCCCCCGCACGUGUGACGAAUUUUCAAGUCUAACACGUGGACAACAUUUGAGGUGACGUGGAGUGCGUGUGGCCUUUAGGUUUCACACAUGGACGUUGGGUAAUAUGCUCUGAUGUCAUGAUAAAGUAGUCUGGGUGUUCAUAUCUAAAACCAAUUGGUAAUGGGUAAAAUGGCCUAAACUCUUAUAAAUUCACAGACAAUGUCUUAUAUUCCCGAUGUGAGAUUGAUAUCUCAACAAAACAAAAAUAGGAGAAACAUGACCAAUAUGUAUUACUGUAUGUUUUCCAAAUUAAGAUUGGAAUGGACUAAAUCUUAGUUAAAUAUAUCAAACCACUCGUGCUUGACUUGGGACGCCAAUGACUAUUAGUCCAGUAUAGAAGGGACGACCCAGCACAGCAUACAGAUUAGACAUUGGAUCCUUAGAAAUUUAGUAGUCUAGAUUCUAGACAAGAAGACAUUUCUAAUGAGCCACCGUGUCCAUACUUGGUCUUCCUUCCGAUGCUUAUAAAAGAACAGGCAAUCAAGCACUUCCUUUCCUCAUAACAAACACAAUCUGUGGCGCCAUGGCCUUUCAUGUGAUCAAGAAACUCUCUUUGCUACAAGCACUUCUUGCUGUAUUAGCGGCCACUGCAACAGCUGCAGCGGCUGAUCAAACGACUCUCCUGCCUCAAGCCCUGCCCGGCUGCCUGGACCACUGUGGUAUACCUCACAAUUCCAUACCCGUUUGGCAUUGGUGACGGUUGUUACCUGCGACCGGAGUUCAAUACUACUUGUUAUGGUCUCAACUCGGCAUAUUUCAACACCACCGCCGGUGCAAGAUACAUGACUCACAUAUCCCUUGAAGGGGAGUUGCAAAUAAUUCAAGAAAUAGCUUAUGAUUGUUACAAUGACAUGAACGAGCCGUUGUUCAGCAACAACCCCUCGCUCUCGCUGCCUACUCCUUAUACAAUUUCCGAUACCAAAAACAAGUUCAUUGUGGUUGGUUGUGAUGCUUUAGCACUAUUUCAAGGCCACCGGGGGGAUGAGAACUACACAACCGGGUGUAUGUCAAUAUGUAACGACAAUGUUGGCAGUGCUAAUGCAUCUUGCUCUGGUAUUGGGUGCUGCCAAACUUCCAUCCCUAGUGGUCUUCAGAGUCUUGGUAUGAAAGUGAGUAGUUUUACAAUCACUCGUACAUAACAAGCCACUGCGGCUAUGCCUUGAUAGUGNNNNNNNNNNNNNNNNNNNNNNNNNNNNNNNNNNNNNNNNNNNNNNNNNNNNNNNNNNNNNNNNNNNNNNNNNNNNNNNNNNNNNNNNNNNNNNNNNNNNNNNNNNNNNNNNNNNNNNNNNNNNNNNNNNNNNNNNNNNNNNNNNNNNNNNNNNNNNNNNNNNNNNNNNNNNNNNNNNNNNNNNNNNNNNNNNNNNNNNNNNNNNNNNNNNNNNNNNNNNNNNNNNNNNNNNNNNNNNNNNNNNNNNNNNNNNNNNNNNNNNNNNNNNNNNNNNNNNNNNNNNNNNNNNNNNNNNNNNNNNNNNNNNNNNNNNNNNNNNNNNNNNNNNNNNNNNNNNNNNNNNNNNNNNNNNNNNNNNNNNNNNNNNNNNNNNNNNNNNNNNNNNNNNNNNNNNNNNNNNNNNNNNNNNNNNNNNNNNNNNNNNNNNNNNNNNNNNNNNNNNNNNNNNNNNNNNNNNNNNNNNNNNNUGCCCCUACUCAAACGGAUCAGUUUGUUAAUGAGGUUAUUGUUCUUUCUCAAAUCAACCACAGAAAUGUAGUAAGGUUAUUAGGUUGUUGUUUAGAGACAGAAGUCCCUUUACUAGUACAUGAGUUCAUCACCCAGGGCACUCUAUUUGAGCACAUUCACAAGAAUAAGGGUAAAGGGUCAUUACUUUCAUGGGAACUCCGAUUGAAGAUAGCAUCAGAAACUGCAGGAGCAUUAGCAUACUUGCACUCCUCCACUUCCACACCAAUCAUUCACCGGGAUGUGAAGACAAUGAAUAUACUGUUAGAUGACAACUACACAGCCAAAGUGUCAGAUUUUGGAGCUUCACGUUUCAUUCCUAUCGAUCAGACUCAACUAGCAACAUUGGUGCAAGGGACAUUUGGAUAUUUGGACCCUGAAUACUUCCAUUCAAAUCAACUAACAGAAAAGAGUGACGUCUAUAGCUUUGGAGUGGUACUAGCAGAGCUACUCACAAGUAGAGUAGCUCUUUCUUUUGCAAGGCCUGAGGCAGAGAGAUGCCUUGCACACUUUUUUGUUUGUUCGGUGGAAGAUGGCAACUUGAACCAAAUUCUAUGUGAUGACAUUGUUAAGGAAGAAGAUAUUGAUCAGAGAGUCAUAGAGAAUGUAGCACAUCUUGCAAAGAGAUGUUUGAGGGUAAAAGGGGAGGAAAGGCCUACCAUGAGAGAAGUAACCAUGGAGCUAGAAGGAAUGAUUAUGACAAAGCAUCCAUGGGGUUCUGCAGAUCAUAACUUCCCAGAAGAGACUAUGCACUUGCUGGGAUCACCUAAUACUUUCAUGGAUUACAUUGUCGAUGUUGAUGGCGAUGGUGGUCCUGGUACAACCAGUGCGUGUGACAGCAUGCAACUCGAAUUGUUAAAUUCAUAUGCUGAUGGGCGAUAGAGUUAAUAGACUGUAUAAUUUUCGGUGAUUGAAAUGUAAACCUUUAUCAGAUUGCGUGGUGUUUAAAUGUAUCUUUUCUGUGUGUAUGUGUAUAAAUACGAAGUUAAUCAGGUCUCUUAUAUAUGCACUCUCCAAAAGAAUUUACCCAACACUCAACCCCCAUUCCACAUAUAUUAAGUGCAUAUAUUGAACAGAUUACCAUCCCAUUAUAUUCAAGCGCAUGCAAGGAGUAGAAAUCAAUACAAGCAACGCAUUGAUAGUACUAUUUGUAUAGGUUACUUUGUCAUGCAAAGGCAAGAAGGCAAAAACAGUACUGAUUCUCAAAACAGUCUAUCGUAGUUUAUAAUUCUAGUGACAGUGAAGGACUUACAGAUAUCUAGUUGCCAGUUGAAUUGGGAACACGAAUUCAGCAGAGGACACAGGUAAAGUUUUGUCCUUUGCAAAUUUCAUACAUAAUCCUUGUAAAGAGAGUUGAAAAACUCGAAACCAUAAGGGGAACACAUUUAGAAAUGAUACUGGAAGCGGGUGACGGAAGUUACGGGUUCGAGUUCGGGUUGCUUUGGGUGGGCCCGGGUGGCGGAUGAGCGUGGGGAAGAAGACGACGAUGGGGCUGGCACCUGGGCGGAGGAGUAAGUCAUGGCGUUCUACUGAGGAAGUGAGUUGCUUCAGUACACGAUUCUCUUUUCCAGCCUGCGUAAGGCCCGCUAUCCUAGGUUCCGCCUAGACGAACUUGGGCUCCGCCUAGCCCGCUUAAACCCGAUUCGGCCUUGGCCCAAGUUUUCUGUUUGGGCUUGUCUUUCAUUUUUUUUUUAAUGCUUGACUGUCGGCCAGAUAGUGCCAAGCAACACCAAGAAAUGUUCAUAUUUUACAAACUAUUGGAAUAGACGAAUAGUCCAAGGCUCAAAGCUGAAAAAACUAUAUAUAAAUCUCACCUUUCAUGCUUGACUUUGGAAGUUGAUAACUACUAUCAUGUCGUCAUCACCAAGAAGGGACAACCCAGCACAGUAUCAGUAUGCAAACUAUAAUGUUAAUGGAGACUAGCUAGACAGGACGACAUUUUUAAAUACUCACUUCCAUGUUUAUAAGGGCAAGCUUCGUAGCAGUUGCCUUGUUAAGCAUUAACUACAACAUGUUAUAUGUAGUACUAUCCAUUCCCAUGCUGCUAUGCCUUUCGUAAUUCCAAGGAUGUGUAUGAUCAGGCAACUCUGUUCACUAGUGGUGGGAAUGAUCGUAUUACGGUCUGUACCAACAGCAACCGCAGCACCACCACCACAUGCCCUGCCACGGUGCACCGGAAACUGUGGUGCCCUCCCAAUUCCAUAUCCAUUUGGGAUAGGCGAUGGAUGUUACCUUCGACCAGAGUUCAACAUCACUUGUGACCAAUCCACCACACCCCCAUCAGCAAACCUCACGAACACUACUACUUCUAUCACCCACUUCUCCAUUGUCGAGGGUGAGUUGCAAGUACUGCAGGCUGUGGCCCAAGAUUGCUAUGACGACAAGGGUGUACUCAUAAACAACAAACCAAGUAGCCUGGAGUUACCUUUUCCUUAUACAAUUUCUGAAAGAAACGAGUUCUAUGCUGUUGGAUGUAAUAGCAUAGCAACGUAUCAAGGUACUAGAAUCUUGGGGCCAGAUGAGGAAGAAAACUCGGGGAACACUGUGACAGUGUGUGAAAAUAGGCUAGGAAAAGAGCUUCCCGCGGUUUGCAACUUAUUUGGGUGUGCCCGGAGUUCUGUCCCGGCUGGACUACACAACAUUUCAGUGACACUGGCUGCACUGGGUUCGCAACGAAGGGUUAAUGACAGCUGGAACGUCAAGUACCCCUGCAGCUAUGCCUUCAUUAAUGAACAAGACAAUUUCACAUUCGCCGAAGCUAGAAGUUUUCAGCAACUGCAAACCACAAGGCAGCUACUUCCGGUGAUUCUUAAUUGGGUGAUUGAUACUCGGGUGACUGGGGAGAAGUCAGACACAUGUGAUAAAGCUCUAUUAAGGGAGGAUUAUCCGUGCAAAGAAAACAGCAGGUGUAUCAAUCAGCAAAGACAGUUUUUGCAUUAUAGACCUGUCAAUGUGCCUGUAGGUUACUUGUGCCAGUGCUUGCCAGGCUACGAAGGGAAUCCAUACGUCGGUUGCCGAGGUAAUGACGAUUCUUUCUUUGAACUAUAUACAAAUACAGAUCUGCUAUAAUGUGUGCGUUAUGUGUUACAUAUGUGCGUGUGCGCGUGCACAUCAAUCAAUUUGUUAGUUGCUCCUGCCUGCUGCAGAUUUUUUUUUUUUUUUUUUUUUGGCGAAUGGAUAGUUAUAUUAAACCAACAAAGAGAAAUACAACAACAAUACAAUAGUCAACAGACCCAACACACUGGGCCAAGACCAGAGUAAGACAGAAACAAAUGGACUUAAACCAGGCAAGCCCAAAGAUACAAUUGCAUAACAGCAAACAGAGGACCCAAGACCUACUUCCACGACAGCGCCGCCGACCACAAAACUGGAGUCGCGAUCCGGCAGAGAUCGGAGAAGAAGGCAAGAGAAACUUGCUGCACCUUCAUGUAUCUGAGUUCCAAACAAGCACCAAGCCAACUGCAAUCCAAAUAAGAAAACAUGAAAAUCAGACCUCAAACAAUCUUCGUGAGGAAGAGCUUCUUCUGCCAAGAUAUCAACUAGACAAGCUAGAUGAAGAAAGAGGGAGGUUAGAUCCGUAUAUGGAUCAAAGAGACAGGCACAAGUGCAAGCAGUCCCUUGUAGCAUCCCCCGGUGCUCAAUCGGGAUAUACCCUACUCGAUUUAAGCUCCUAGGAGCAUAUUUACAGGAAUCGGCAGAUUGAAAGAGAUAAGAGCCGCCACCAUUGGCGACCCGCAAUGAGAACACCAAGUUUGAGGAGGAGAAAGUCAGAUCUGGAAAAAAGAGGGCAUGGGACAAGAGGAACUGACCGAGACGAAGAAGACAAAGAAAGAUAACAGACCAAACAAAGUAACCGGAAAGCCGAAAGGAGAGGCAUAUCGCCUCAGAUCGGAGUAGAACUCCGAGGAAAACCGGCCAAGACGGCUGGAGGAUAGAUCCUAACAAGGGUGGAACCGAUAUAGAAGACAUACUUCUAGAUAAGGGAAAUAACAAGAAAGCAGGAAAUUGAGAGUCUCCCCCGAUUCUUAAGCCA
RNAcentral lists this long non-coding RNA (86355 nucleotides) under Fragaria vesca (wild strawberry). RNAcentral's name for it is "long non-coding RNA (FVES_LNC001233)". Lineage: Eukaryota; Viridiplantae; Streptophyta; Magnoliopsida; Rosales; Rosaceae. The record is from RNAcentral.